UUUUUUUUUUUUUGUUUGGCUUCUGAGUUCUGAGACUUGUUUUUGUUAUCUCCUUGCAAAGUUGCAGUAUUGUAUUUUAGAAGCAUCUUGAUGCAUUUAAAUUUUAGGAAUAAAUUAUGCAACAUAUAUAUUGUGCGAUAAUCGGGAUGCUUGAUGAGUUGAGCUGGUUAUUCCGUCUCCACGCGGUUAGAUGCGUGCAUCUGGAGCGGAGCGGCAGAUGCUUGCACGGGCAGCGGAGUGAGCUGGGCGGUGGCGUGUGCAGCUCCGGCGGCAGGUUCAAGUCGGUGGAAGCCUGUCAGCAUCGCUUCUGAGCAUGCUUCGGGCCAACAGCAAGUAACCGGGCCUCGCAAGUCGUCACGGCUCAGGAAGGAGAAUCCACGUUUCCUCAGCCCAAAUUGGGAGUAGGCGUGCGUGAGUUUGACGGUGUCUUUGGUGAUAAUGUUCGCUUCAGGUUAUAAGCCGGCUGAAAAGUUGAAACAGCUGAUUUGUUGUGAGAGGAAAACACCGUUUGGUAGCUGAUAAGCCAACUGAAUAAGCUGAAGCGAACAGGCUCAUGACUUUUUACUACAAUUAUACAAGUUGCAGAAAACUAAUGUAGCUUCUGAUUUGACCUUCCCGAUCGCCGGCUUCAUGCUGGCAAGAAAGCCAACCAAACCAUGCCAGGAUGUCAGCAUCAAGUCUGGAGUUGCAAAAGGAGCAGUGGUCAGACGUUAGGGGCUUGCACAUGAUGAAAAGGUAACAUCACUACAUCAGCUUGCCACAAACCCCAGAGGUAAAUAAUUCAGAUUUGGAUGGCUGCUCCAAAACUAGACUUCGGGACAGAACAAACAAAUUGAGGAAUCAUUACGAGCAAAUCACGAACCGCUUGUGGACGAGAGACACAACGUUCCAUCGCAAAAUAUUUGAAAUAGUUCAGGCAAACACUCAAGACAACCUGAACCCGCUGUACACCAGGCAGGCCACAGCUGACGAAUAGUUCGAGCAGAGGCAACAAUGCGCAUAACCGAACCCAAACACUCUUUGACAACGGGUGCAUGUAAAGUGCAGUGAUCUGUUUGAUAGAAUGUUGAGAGAUGAAAGUCGUACAAGGAGACGAGGCAGAAUGUUCAAUUCGGGAAAAAAUGUAAAUCUUGAACCAAUGAUGCAAAGUCGAAAAAAGAGGAGCAAACGAAGAGUUGUAGUUGAAAACAAGGGUAACCGAUUACUCUACCAUGAUAUGGCAGAAUGAGCAUCAAAUUAGGUGCAUGCUUCCAGAAAACUCCAUGAUGCGACUUGUGAGCAUUCCUCGGUACAGGAGGUAAACAAAAUCUUCGCUCUAACAGCCUUGCUGUCCUACAAAUUAUUAUGCAUCGAGCAUAAACUUUUCCCGGGGCAAAAAAGACCUAUUUCACCUGUUUAAUGAGUUCCUCUCAUCAAAAGGAUGACGGACAAAUCAUCCGUUAAGAAAAAAACAAAAGAUUUGGGACUAGCUCUUGAGUGACUGAUACAAUUCCAUCCACCAAAUACGAUCUCAGGGAGUACUGAAAAAUCAAGCGCUGGCUUUCGAUUCAGCCUCUGCUGGGGCAGGAGUAACACCACCAGUUGUUGGGCUGAAAGAGGAAACAAAAUAAACCAUUAAUUGGUGAUCUAUCAAAAGAAUUUGGCUGCUGCAGCGUUCAUCGGGAAAGCAGAAGAUACUCACAGUCCAACCAUGACUUUGAAAGCAUCAUAAAUUCCCCACUGAGCACCAGUAAGGGUACCGAUCAUGACAAUACGAAGAGGAAGUCCUCUGGUGAAAAGACCCCAGAGACCAAUCUUCUUAACAGCCUGCAAGAAUACAGCAACAACAUAUAGUCAAACAGCAGCUAGCAACUACAUACAGUCAACCAACAACUAGUAAGUGCAACAAGAAGAUAAAAGGUUAGAGGCAAAAGCUUGAAUAUGCUUACAUCACCCACUGUAGCACCCUUGGCAUUGUUUAGGAAAGACACAAGGUUGUCAGCCGGGUGAGAAACAAUAGCACAGAAGACACCAGCAAUGUAGCCACCAGCAAAGCUGAUACCCAACUGGGUCGUCUUGCUGCACUCAGACUUGGGAACAGGCACGGCAUGCUUGUAGAUAAGCUCAACAAUGGUCUCAAAGGAAGCAAACUUCAUCAUGGUAUCUGCAUGCAUCAUAUAAGAAUUCAACUUUCGAAUACAGCUUAUAAGUGGAAAUGACAGCUUAUAUAAGAACAAAGCAUGUAACACAACUGAGAAUGAAGACAAUCAUUAACAAGAAACAGGGCAUUAGAGUUCCACACCGCGCAGUAAAGGUUUAAAGUUACACUGAUUUCUACUAAGAUGAAAUUCCUGGACAGUCCAAGAUAUGGUGAGAUGAUGAGAUUCCUGGUGUAAAAUAUCGACAGACGUCCAAUGCUUUUUUUAAUUGGUGUCCUGAAAUUCUGAAUCCCUAAAUAAAAUGUAUGGAGCAAUUUAGGAAGCACCUGACAUGAGUGUAGAAAACACCCCCACUAAAGCUCAUAGAACAUGAUAGACAACAACAGCAUCCAAAGCUUUUUAAUAAAUCGACAUCAUGCUUUCUAAAUCAAAAUGGAAAUCCCAACAAAUUUUUGCAAACAAUUUUACAGCUGAAACUUAAAGAUUCAAAACUGGAACAGACAGUAUGGGUUGACUUCUUAUUGGGCCACGUUCAACAGAUAAAUUGACUAUUCAACUUAUUGGGCCACGUUCAACAGAUAAAUUGACUAUUCAAUAUAUUUUAGUUCCAAUAUACAGUACAAUACAUGCAUUUUUGACAAAAUAUGUUUUGAUGUCACUGAUUUUAGAGAAAGGGGAACUCUAGUGAGAAUCACUAAAAUGAUGGAGAAACUCUAUAAAGUGCUACAGAAUACAUAAUGGUAGGGAAUUAUUAUAAAGCUGAAACGUUUGGUGUAACCACAGAGACAUUAAAAAAAAGGCUCCCACGCAAACGAAUAGUUCUUGAGCAUUUCCAAGUGAUCCACAACUUUGCAACAGCCAUUUACUACAAAUGAAGUAAAAAAAUGGACCUAUGUACCAAGAUGAUAACAGAUAUGAACUUACAAGGAAUCUGACGACCCCAGAGAGGAACAAUUCCCUUGUAGAGCCUAAAAUUAUUAAGCAGUAAGAGCUGUUAACAUGAAAGACCAGAAAACGAGCGUAAAAUCAUGAUGAUGAGUCAGCACGUUUUCUUACCCGAGAGCACCCUCAGACCGGACAAAUUUGGGGAGCCCAUCACUCAACCCACGAGCAAAUCCAGGCUGUGUCUGCACACGUACCUUCACAGCUUCGAAGGGGCAGAGAGCCACAUCAGCAAUUACCUCAGCAGAAGCAGAACCUGCGAGGUAGAUUAGAGUCUUGUACUUGUGGGCAUACUCAGGCCCUGCAAUAUCUGAGUAGUACUUCUUGAAGAACUCAUAGAAGCCAAACUUGCAAGCCCCCUGAGCACUGUAACCAAGCAAGGUAGGCACCCAUCCCCUGAAAAAGCCCCUAGCCCCUUGCUCCUUUAACAGGAUACCAAAUCCAGAUGAGAUGCUCUUGUAUUUCGCUGGAUCGAUCUGCAAAAUAAAACCAAAACUUGUUAUGUUGAAAAUCCAGUUCAAGCAUGACAUCAAUUGCUGCUCCCACAAUCAGUCGGUCAAUGACUCACUGUACUGAUAAUCUAACUAACUAUCUCCAGCUAUUCAUUAAAUGUCAUAGUAGAGAAACAUAGAAAAUCAAACCCCACUAAACAGAGAGCAAAGUUUCACGGUAGCAAAACCAGAUAGUUAGCUAGGCAUGGUUGUUUCUCCAGAUGUCAGUGUCAUUGCUAUUUGAAUUGCUUACCCUACUGGACAAAAAUUACAAAAAAAACACAAAUGAAAAGUGUUCGCAAGUUUAGACUGAUAUAAUUGAAAUAAACCUAUUGAAUAAAACAAGCCAAUUAGCCAACUGCCACAAUUCACAACUAGGGUUCAUUUGGUUCCAAACCUGAUCUUGCAUAAACCAAAUUGAUAACCAUUGAACAACAAAUUCAUUGAUAACUGCAAUUAAAUGAAUUCAGUGGAGAGACAUGUAUAAAAUUACAAAUUUAUUAGUAACAGAAAUGCUGAAAGCUGUGCUCUUAGAGAACUAGCAUAUACUAGUCACCAAUUCCAGCACAGAGUAAACAAAGAGCACCUUGUGUUGGAACAAACAAAGAGCAUGUCAAGACAAAACAAAGCAAAAGGUGUGGAUGUUAAUAACACCAGCUGUUCACAGGGGUAAAGCACAGUGAUCAAACUCACAGGGCUAGCCACAACUUCACAAAUCGGCCUGAAGCAACUAAUAAAUUGAAACGGGAGCCUACUGUAACCGUCAUACACUCAACAGCUACUCAUCUAGCAAGCAGCACUAUUCAUAAGUUCCUACACGACCUAAACAAAGCGCAAUGCAAAGCUUCAUAGGUAUGGUGACUUAGGAAGUGGCAGAUUUACGCAUCGACCAUGAAGCGCGUAAAAAUGGAGAUCAGAAGCCCACAACUACCAAGUCCCGCACUAAGCCGACCAAACACCGCCAGAUCCGCGCGAGAUUCCCCCGAAAUGGCGCCCCGGAAGCACCGAGCCCACAGAUCUAGAUCGCUGCCCCGCUCACCUGCAUGUUGCACUUGACGAGGUCGAGCGGCGUGACGGCCAUGUGGGUGAGCCCGCAACUGGCGAUCCCUCCGGCGGUGCAGGCGGCGUAGAACGCCGGCGAGUAGAGCUCGAUCUUCUCGUUGGGCGCCUGGAUCGAGAACGGCGCGCCGCCGCCGCCAGCUCCAGCAGCCGCGGCCGGCGCCGGGGCGGAGGCGGCGAAGGAGCGCGCGGGGGAGGAGGCGGCGAAGGAGCGCGCCGAGGAGGCGUAGAGGAAGCUCGGGAGGAGCGACUCGCGGGAGCGGUCGGAGAGCGCCAUCGCCGCCGAGAGAUUCGGAAGAUUCGUCCCUCUCGUGGGGCUUGGAGGGGGGGCGGGGGCUGGUGGUGCUUUCCGAGAGCUCUCGCGGUCGCGUGGAUUCGACGAGGAGGCGAAUAUGAAGGGGGGAUUUCCAACUUGCUAGGGCAUCGACAUCUUCGAUCGUCCUCUGAGAGUGGGCCCACGGACUGGGAGAGGUCCUAGCUUUUCGGUUGGUGGCGCCGUUUGUGCCUGGAGUGGGCUAGUUUUGCGCCUAAAACGUGUUAAACACUUCUUGCUCUAUUGCGUAGUACCGUUCAAAAGGAGGCAUAAACACUUUGGAGCAUGUUAAAUUUUCGUUUCAUAGCGUAAACUUCGUUUCCUUUUGAUUUUUUUAUGAAGAUCGAAUGUUGGAAGUGCCUUUUCUCAUUGGCUUUCUGUCGUUGUAAAUGCAUUUCAUCGUUCUAUGUGCACUAGCAUGUAACCGUUUAAAGUUUUAAUUUAAACCCAUUCCCACAUUUAUAUGUUGGUGGUGAAACGGUCGGUGCCUACUCAUCUCGUGCCCGUGAGCUGUGACGACUUCCUUCCGGGAAGGAGACUGGUGGCUAGAAUAUGCAGAUGAAUAUUCUGCCGGGGGCACUCUUGUCCCGCCCGCCCAUUUGACCUUGUACUCCGUAGAAUUGUAUCGCGGCCGAGUGGAAGAAGGAAGGGGGCGGGGCCAGAUGUGCCCCUGCGGCCCUGUGGCCUUCCCAGAGACGGGGCCGCCCGAUGUUAUGGUCAGAUCCCCGGCCAAUUUCUAAACACGACGAGGAGGCGCCGAGCGAGGAUUUGGUCAGAAAAAUUCACAAAAAAAGCUUUUGGGUGACGAAUUGGCGGCAACCACCAACUGGCGGCGCACGUUUGGGCCCAGACUGGGCUGACCAGUGCGCGUGUCUGCUUAUCUGGCCAGGCCCAUCACACGCUCCUGGCAGCUGUUUUUUGCUUCCCUCCCACGCGCGCCCAAGUACACCCAAGCCAACCGUCCACAGUUUACUUCCGCCCUCGCGCCAUCUCCAUCGCCUCCUGGCCGGCAAGCAACUCGCGCUUUGGCACCACGCACAAGUCACCGUCGCCGAACACCACACGCCCCCCCUCUACGAGCUCACCUCCCCUACCCUCACUUCACCUCUCUGCAGAAUCGCUUUCACCCCCCCGCAAAGCCAUCCUUUCCCACCCGUGCCUCAAUUUCCAAGUCCCAAUCCCAAUCAAUCAAAAACCCCCCGCGCGCGUUGCCUUAAAACCAGCGCCGUCUCAUGCAAAACUCCGAAGCGAUCUUCCGAGAGCUACAGCUACCUGAUCGAUCAGGCGUUCAAUCGACCCCCGACGCAAGGAAACCACGCCAUGUCGACGACGGCGCCCGCGCACUACGGCGGCGCGCGGCACCGGACGUGCCGCAUGUACUGGUGCUACCAGUGCGGCCGCGCGCUCCGCAUCAUCUCCUACCCGUCCACCGACGUCUUCUGCCCGCGAUGCUUCGGCCGCUUCCUCCACGAGAUCGACGCGCCGCCGCGCCCCGCUUUCCCGCCGCCGCCGCCGCACUUCCUCCCGAACCCGUUCCACCCGCAGCACCAGUACGACGGCCGCCCGCGACGCUGGGUCAUAUACGGCGGGGAGCCGACAACAACUGUACCAGGCCGCGCGUUCCGGCAGCCUGCGCUGUCGCCUGCACCGGUGCCGCCUCGGCGGCGCGUGCCCUCCCCUCCGCCGCCGCCGCCGGUGCCGCGGCGGCCGUCCACGCCCCCGGCCAUCGACCCGGGGAACUACUUCACGGGUCCCAACCUGAACAACCUCAUCGAGGAGAUCACCCAGAACGACCGCCCGGGCCCUGCGCCGGCGCCGUCAUCGGCCAUCGACUCGCUCCCGACGGUGCGGAUCACAGCGGCGCACCUGUCGGACGGCCCGCAGUGCCCCGUGUGCAAGGAGGACUUCGAGCUCGGGGAGGCCGCGCGGCAGCUGCCGUGCAAGCACGCGUACCACUCCGACUGCAUCGUGCCGUGGCUCCGCCUCCACAACUCCUGCCCGGUCUGCAGGUACCAGCUGCCCGGCGCAGGCGGGGGGUCCAACGGCGGCGGCCAGGCCGCGCCUCGCGGCGGCAACAGGAACAGGGAGCAGCGGGACAGAGAGCCCCCGACGAUGGUGAGGUGGGGCCCGUUCUCGUGGCUGUGGCCGCCGCGCGGGCUGGACGACCCCGACGACGACGCGUGGGAGCACGGGCGCCGCCGCAGGCAGCACGACGUGGCCGACGCCGGUGGUAAUGAUAUGACGGCCCUCCAGUCUUUCGUUCUCGUCGCAACCUGUGUUUUCCUCUUCUCCUUCUUCGCCUGAGCCAAAUCAAAAGCUCAAAACGUCUUCCAUGGACGUUGUACUACGAAGGCAUAACAUAACGGAGGAACACGCAAAGCUAAUUGUGUGAAAAAAUCUAUUUGUGUUAAUCAACUUUGCCAUGUUCUAAGCUGUUUUCUCAUCUCGCAUUUGCUUUCAGCAUUCUACGCUUGGUGGCGCUCUCUGUUUCUCAUCUAACUGCUACCGUGGCGUGGAGACGCUAUCGUAUCCCAGUUAAGUGAUCUGAUCAGGUUCUUAUCCUACUUCAGAAAUGCGGCCGUGCUAUGCUAGCAACCUAAUAGCAAUUUGAAUUGCAGGUUAACCCUGGAGCUGUUCUGCCAGUUCAAUGUGAAUUGUGGAAGUCUGCUGUGGAGAUGUAGACAGAAAGGAGCCCGCUGUAAAAGGCUUGUAAUUUACGCAUAGUUAAAGGAGCAUGCCAAAUUCAAGGCAGGCUCAGUGAAUGGUGUGUCAUGGUAACUUUAAGGUGUUUGGUUGGCAAAAUGUAAUGCAAUCGGAUUACGGAUGCUAAUGAAUUACAUUAUAGCUAUUUGUUUACAUCCAUCAGUAAUUGGUUAACACUGCAAUCAAAUCCCAUCCCACCACUAUACAAGCCUGUUACCACCCCUUCCCCUCUGUAAUCAGAAAACAUAUUAUCUGAUUGCGUUACCACAGUUGAACCAAACAAAGAAUGUAAUCGUCCAUUCCGUAGUUUAAAACUGCAAUCCCCUUCCAUUUACGUUCACGUACCAAACACCAUCUAAUUUCUAAAAAUGCAGCAGACAUUCUAUGUGAUGUGAUUGAUGCUGGCAAAGUUGCAGAACUUGUAAACUCAUGUUCCAUGUAACAUUGCACGGUAUGGUGAAAUUUUUUUCUCAUUGAUCUCUCAAUUUCUCAUAAAGAAAUUGAGCAGAUAAUAAAAAAAAUACAUGGGAGUUUGGAUGUCAUAAGGAGCAUCAUACAUAACAGGUUGAUUUCAUUCAAUAGUCAAUAGCAUAUAAAAAUGUAAAUCAGAUUCCCGUCUCUUGUAUCAAACUAUCAAAUUUAGUUUCGAGAGGGUCGGGCGUUUAAAACAUGGUUCAACAUGCUUUCGGAACCAGCGUGAAACCCUGAGGUGUAUGAUGCAUUCUUCAGACUCGUCUGCAAGGAAAACAUCCAGGUUAGUUAUGCUUAGCAACAUUUAAUGCAAAGGGGCUGCAUGUUAGAAAAAAAUGUCCUCUUCUGUUAUUACUAGUGGAUCUAGAAGUAAACCUAAAAUAAAACUGCACAUAUAUCACCAAACGUCAGCUUUAUAUUAUUGUAUCGGACCAAAAUUGUUCACAAUUAUGUGUUGAAAUGGAUAAUGAUGCUUAAUUUUACAUUUCCCCUCUUGCCAUGGGCCAGUCAUGUACGGAAAAUUGAGGUCUUCCAAAAAACAGCAGUAGAGAAACUAACCGUUAUACUCUCCAAAUCUGGGGCAGCCCGUCCCCUAAUGCCAUCUAUGAUCGAGGAAAGCUCUUCCUUCUUAACAUCCAAUUUCUUCAAUGCCUGUGCAGCACUACUAUCAACAAAACGUGCAGACUACUACAAAUGAAGGCUAUCAUAGAUAAGCUCACUGGCUUACCUCAGACAACAACAAUGGGGAGAUGAUGUCAAACACAUCAUUUACAAAUUUGUCAACACUGGUAGCGUUGGUAGGUUUAUCUACUUUGUUCUGCGAUGUUUCUGGGCCCUUGCUCUGAACUUUAGGCUUAACCUUCACUUCUGAUCAUGGACAAAUUGUCAUGCUUGACUAUUGAAAUUUAAGAGAUCAUAUAAGCUAAGUAAAAGUUACAAAUGAAAUUCAUAUGUAUAUAAGCAUACACCGAACAAUAAGCAACAAACUGUUGCAAACUCCUUGCAAUAUGAUGGUUAUGAGCCAAGGACAAAGAAUAGAAACUAAUAUAUUCUUUCUUCAGAAGCAAAAAUCAUUCCAGAAAGUAUCCUCACAUGUAAUUAAACAAUUCGUAACAACAUUCCCAGUAAAUAACGUACAUCAAGUACUACAAGAGAUACGCACAUUCCCCCAUGAUCACAACUGGUCACUUCAAUGGCUUACUAGUGGAUAGUAAAUUGUUGGUGGGGUUUGGAUUGUAUAGAGGUGGGUAUGGGUCUGCUAUGAGGUCUUUUCCAAAUCUCCUGUUUGGCAUGUAUGGGUUUUGGAAUCUGAUCCAUAGCACCCUUCCUAAAAUGACAAGCAUUUCUAUGCUUGCUAACUGCUAACGGACAUUUUUUGCAGUUCUGCAGUAGCCCAUUCGUAAGUCAUAACCCACCCAUUCCACCAGGAAUGGAUCAGUCAGAAAAGAAGCUCUCAUUUGUUAUUCCCAAAGCCUCCUCUAUUACCCAAACCCCAUUCCCAAACAGUGGAUUGAAUCUAACCCCGUUUCUCCUAAUCCAAAUGGCACCUUAUGUGAAUGGGAAUCACUAAAAUUAUCUCAUGACAGCAGCUACAUGAUUCAUUAUGGGGGCGUUUGGUUCCCUUUGCUUAUUUUUAGCACGUGUCACAUCGAAUGUUGAGAUACUAAUUAGAAGUAUUAAACGUAGACUAUUUACAAAACCCAUUAUAUAAGUGGAGGCUAAACGGCGAGAUGAAUCUAUUAAGCCUAAUUAAUCUAUCAUUAGCAAAUGUUUACUGUAGCAACACAUUGUCAAAUCAUGAACUAAUUAGGCUUAAUAGAUUCGUCUCGCCGUUUAGCCUCCACUUAUGUAAUAGGUUUCGUAAAUAUUCUACGUUUAAUACUCCUAAUUAGUAUCUAAACAUUCGAUGUGAUGGGUGCUAAAAAUAAGCACACGUAACCAAACCAGGCCUAUUUUUGCUGGCAGACAGUGUGUGGACCAAAGAUAACAAACUUACUCAUAUUAGUUUGCUCUAAUAGCAGUGAUAAACAUAUAGUGCAGAUUCCCCAACAAGAUAUGUUAGCACUACCAUGAAUUUUACGGGGUGUUAGCGGACAUCAUAACAUAUGUUACAUCAUGAAUUUUCAUCAUUAUUUAGGUAGAUUAGCACAUCUAACCAUAAAUUAGUCCAUGAAACACAAAAUUGUAUGAAAACAAUGAUGACAAAUUCAGAAUAUAUUUUUUUACAUUAUGAUGUUCACUAUCACCCUACAAAACUUUGACUUAAAACUCCACUUGUGCAUGGAGAAAAAAAAUCUUGUUUAGGGGUAAAUUGGGCCGAUUGAUAUAGUUGUGGGAGUAAAUAAGUACGGCAUGCAUGGAUAACUGACCUGUCUCUUUGGGCACAUUAUUUUGAUGAGGAACAUUAGUAGGUGUAGUGUUCUCAACUGGUUGUUCUGAGGAAUUUGGGAUACCAGAUGGAAUCAGAUGUGCUAAAUCAGGAGGACUAUCCUUACCCACAGCUGGUGUAUCCUGCAUCACAGCAGUGGUAUCAAUAUAUCUCUCCAAUUAAAAAAUGAAAGCAUACCUAGGCAAUCUAACUGUUACCUCUAAGUUCACAUAUGCCGGUUGUUUCCCAAUGGAGAUGAGAAACUUGUCCAGAUUGCUUGAGCUAAGAGCUGAUAUGAAGUAAAUUAGAAAUUAAAGAUCAAACUUAAGGAUAUAUAACAUUAUCCAGGUCAGGGUAUAUCGUUUGUGCAACUACACAGAAGCAUCAUGGGUGGCUAACAUACAGUUUGCAUUGAUAUCAGUAGCUACGAAUUAUCAGUAGUUAAAGUAAUGGAAUACCAUAAGCAAAAGAAGCAUUGAUAUUCUGAACCAUACCAAUUGUCACAUCAUUUGUCAGUGGAUGGAAGUAGCAGCUCUGUUUAGACUUGAAACCUUGAUCAAGUAAUAGUGAAACGGUACUGCCCACAAAAACACAAUUGUAUGACUCAGUAAAAUGGAUUACUUAAAAAGGCAACAGGAAAAAAAACAAGACACUACUUCAGAGUACAUGAUUAUAGAGUGCUAUGAAGCAGAAGUAAUUUAGAUGCGGAAAAAAAACAUUUUGGAAAGAAACACUCAAACAGUCCAUCUUUCAACAGUAAUAGAUUUUAUCAGGCUGUCAGAAAUAUGACUCAAAUAGAUGGGCCAGACUUCCACAACUAUCAUAUCACAGUUGGAACAACAUUAUGGUUGGUAACAGCUUUCCAUCAAUCAAGGGUAUCAUGAUUGAUAAAGAUAAGAGACAGACAAUCACACACUCAAAGCAAGACUCGUACCUUGCAGACUCAUUUAUUAAUGCAAAGGGGGUAACACACCCUAAGGGCACCUGGACAUAAUAAAAAAACAGAUUAGCAAGUCGUUUAAGGAAACAGUAAAAAACUGAGCUAUUCAAUUAAAUUCCUAGCGGAGCCUGGAUGCAACAUUAAGAGUACAACAUUGGUAAAGAUGGAGAUCCCUACAGAAAAACAGAAGAGGUCCUGACCCAACAAAUCGAUAGCAGCAAACUUAUUGGAAUGAUUUUCAGUGAACCUGGUAAACUGAAGGACACUACUUAUGCCCCGUUAUGCUCAUGAAUUAUCAAACCUAAAGAUGCACCAUGUUGUUUUGGCUUUGUUGCUCGUAUGAUUAACUGAAAGUUCUAAACAGCAUAUAAGUGGCUGACCUGAAGUACUUGUAGAAGAUUUUCCUCAGGAGCCAUUCGCAGACCGCCUUUUCCCAAACCAAGACGUUGGGAAAGAACUAGAAGUUGAAGGGAAACAAAACUAAUUAGUACAACAAAUGACCAAAUAAGCAACAGUAAUAUGUAAUCAUCGGCGAAGCUACCUACUUUUCAUGUCGACUUUGGUGCCAGCGAGGGCAGAAACAACAUAUAACCGAUGCUUCUUGUCCUGCAACUCAUAAUUCAGAAAACAUUAAUGCAUGGCGACAUGUGCAUCAGUUAGAACUGUAUGCCAUCAGUUGCAACAAGCAUACCUUCAAGAGCAAAUUUUUACUCAGAGCACCUCCUAAAUGGCCAACAUGUUUCGCCUGGCAAAACCAAAUAAGAAGUCGAUUAGCACUCACGAUGGUUUAUCGGAAACCAUAGUAGAACAAAGUAUGGACUCCUUGGUUCACUGACCUGUUCCUCCACUGUCAACACAACAGGGUGAUCAUAGCAUGUGAAGUCAAUCUUGAGCUCCUGCAGAAGGCAAUGGCAACAGAUCAAAACCUAUGCUAGGAAGCAAAGUGUUUUCAGGUUGCAGCAUCAGGAGGCAGUCAUUUGGUAUAACUGCACUAUUCCCACUUCGAUUUAUGCAUAUUUGGGGAUAAACCCUUGUAUAACACCGCACAACUAAAUUAAAUUUUGAUGUAACCACACCUUUUAGCGUUGGUUUUAUGGUUAAGCUAAUUCCCAACAAAAUCAAGCUCGACGGAAGUAUCUCGAUGAUGGUAGAGCCAGGGGCACUGGCCAAAAGUGCCGAUUUGAUAGAUCUCCGUGGCCAGGGCCCUACGCGAGAAAACAAUCCGAGAAGGCUGUGAGCAAUAGAAGGAUGGUACCGACCUGGAGGCGCGCGAGGAGCUGGUCCUUCGUGUACCCCAUGGCUGGCGACGGCGACGGCGGCGGCGGGCGGGUAGGGGGAGGCCGACUGCUAGUGCUCUGCUUACUGCUCGAGAUGCGGAUGCGGCGGAUGCGCGAGACAGGCCUGUCAACGAGCCGAGACUCUGGGCCUCUUGGGCCAUGGAGCCUUGGGCUUAGGCUUGGGAUUUGGUGGGUGUGUUGGGUUUGAUGAUCACGAAUUGGACCAGGAUAUGACGUGCUUUUCAACGUCAUCGAGCCUUGCCGAGAAGUUCGAGCUCGGCUCGCGAGCCAAGAGUUAGGCUUCAGCUCGGCUCGAAUUUCAAUCGAGGUGAUGUCGAAUCGGGUGUAUGACGAAGAGUCGAGUUCGAGCAGCUCGUGUUCGCUAACCGGCCCGAUUCAAACUGUUGGUUUUGCCUUUCCUUGAAAGCCACGUUUUUCUUCUUUCAAAUCUUGUGAUAGUUAGCAGUACAAAGUGAAUUCUAUGUCCCUUUUGUUUUUGUACUGGAAUUCGCUCUUGCUUGCUUGCUGGAUCUCACUGUUUUGACAUGAGUAUGUGUAGUCGCACUUCACAGCAACAGUUACUCCCUUUGUUGAUUUCCUCAUCAUUUAAAUCUAGUGACAGCGGUUGUAAUUGCAAUUUGCAAACGCAUGUUGAAAUUUCAAAGCACUGCAGAAGCAACGCAGCCUGGAUUUUCAUAGCACAGCAGAAGCCUGAUCUUGAUUUCUUCCUUUUUUAAAUCAGAAUUCUAGCUAGUAACAAAUCCUGCUCCUUUCCUUUCUUUACCUCAGGGGACAAAUCUCUUUUAACUGUGGCAGUAGCUUAAUAGCAUCCAAGGUUCGGUUUAAGAGAAUGAGGUACUGUCACUGUAUGUUAGUAUAAGCACAAAAUAAGGGCCCAUAAGUCAUAUGGCCCACACAAAAUUUUCAGUCGCAAGGAUCCCAGAAAUCCUGCAUCUACUGGAUAACAAUGCUUUGGACACAAGUAUGAGGACAUCAUCAUAAUUCAUUACUUGCACUUGCAGAAACACAGAUUCUACACAUAGCAUGGCAUGCAACUGAGAGGAGGUUUGACUGCAUGGAAAGCUGCCUUAAAACAUGUAGCUCCAUGAGAGCCCCCCAACAUUGCACAAUUAGCCUAGCACUAGUAGUACAAUAAUUUACUUCUAGUAGUAGUAGUAUAUAUGAAUCAAAUAAUCCUUAAUCGUAUAUAUAUAGUGCUUAUUGUACCGUGACCAAUUCUUGAUCACCGUAGGUUGCGGUAGUGAUUAAUCAGUCAGUUUUGAGUUGAUAAUAAAUGAUGAUGAUCACUUGAGGCGACUCGACCGCCGAGCGGACGUUUGGUGGAGGAGCUGAUUGAUCAGUUGACGGAGGAGAAGCUCCAGAGGUUGAUCUCACCUUCCUCCUCCCACUCGUUGGCCGCGUCCGUCGCCAUGGGCGCUGGCGCGAAGAAGGAGCUGCAUGGGUCCAUCAUGGCGUACUCCAUGCACUUGGGCGACUGGAAGAAGGCCUCGAUGUCCGCGAGCGCGGCGAGGUCCGCGUCCCCGGUCAUGUCGAUGUCGUCGUGCGCCAUCUCGUAGUACUGGCCGGUGUUCCCGGUCUCCGGGGAGCUCGCGCCCGACGACGCGUCGCCGUAGCUGCACGGCGGGGUGGUAGCGUUGAUGGCCGCGGCGCCAGAGUAGUAGGGGGCGCCGGCGCCGGGCUGCAGCGGACUGCAGCCGGCAUUGGCGGCCGCGGCGGCGGCGACGCGCUGGAUGGACUUGGGCGACAUGGCGGCGGCGGGGAUGUGGAAGGGGAGUGGCACGGGGAAGUUGAGGUCGGCAGCGGAGCCCUUGAGGCAGAGCAGCGCGGCGUCGUAGGCGCGCGCGGCGGCCUCGGCGGUGGAGUAGGAGCCGAGCCAUAUCCGCGUCUUCUGGUUGGGCGCCCGGAUCUCCGACACCCACGAGCCCCAGCUCCGCAUCCGCACGCCCUUGUACUGCCGCUUCCCGGCGCCCUGCUGCCUCGCCGCCGCCGCCGCCGCAUUGCCGGCGGCGCCGUCGACCGCCGCGUCCUGCAGCUGCGCGCCGCCCUUCACCAUGUCGUAGCGAACCUGACCCCCUGUCUUCUGAUGCUCUGGCUGCUAGCAAAGUUUGAUGCGUGAUGUCGACGGUUGGGAGUGCAAGAGCUCGAUCGAGGAAUGCAACAAGAGAGCAAGCGUCGGAGUGGGCUAGCUGGGGUAGUAGGUGUGUGUGUGGCUACCGGCUGGUGCGGAGCGCAGCGUCCGAUGGCUUAUUUAUAGGACGCGGCCGCAUCAGACUGUGCGUAGAUUAUUUGUCUCGCCUCAUUUAGCUGUGCGUGUGAUGAACAUUUUUAUAGCGAUUUUGUUCACAUCACGCUUGAUAUUUCCCGUGUUUCUUUUUUGGCCCAAUACAGCAUCGAUAUUCGAUCGUACUUCGUCAGUACCACCAAUCCACCGGUCUGCAAUAAUUCAGAGAGGAAAAUACUAGGAUAUGGAGGGGAGGAGCGAAGGAUCCUACACACUGAAACGGAUCAUUCCGACGUACGCAGCAUGUCAGCGGCUCGCGAGGACAGGUUGUACGCUUCAAGUUUACUCAAGUGUGGAUAAGCCAUUGAGCAGCAGCCGCCAUCAGCAUGCAUGCCGCAUACAUGAUAUACAUGAUAAGUAUGAUUAGUGUGUUGGCGUGCCGUGCAGUGGCUUGCAUGCUCGAUCGAUCGUCACCAGGGAGAAUAACAAUCGAUCGGUCAUCAUUAUGUGCUGCACAGACGUACAAACUAGACUGGCCUGGUCAUUUUACCGGUUUUUUUGCGGUUGGUGUAAUGGUGCUAGACCAACGUUCGUGCAUACAGAUAGAUGAGCUCGAGCCUUCGUCUUCUGUCUGCGUUUACCAUGUCUUUUUCUGAAGCUUGUAUACACUGCUGCCUUGACAACAAUUUACCGCUCGACACAUAGAGUCACUUAUACCUACCACUACUAGUCAAACACUAAGUAGGUCACAUCUCGUCACGCUAAUCAUGUAUUCGUAACCUGUUCACAUCAACAAGCACGCUCGAUUGGCUAGCCACGCCACAUUGUCGCCGUCCGUGUACACGGCCAGGCCAGCUAGCGAUACCCAAGACAACAGGAGGAAAAAGUCUUAACACACUUUAGAUUUUAGCUAGGUAACACACACAUCUACCAGUCCAAUCACCCAGCAAAGUCCUACUUAACCAUGUGCUAAAUUACUUUCCCACUGUGAACAGCCGACGGGUUGACCACGCACAGGGACGCACUGUGCACCGCCCAUCCCACCACCCCCCUUCGUCCCACACGAAGGCACGUAUGCGUUGCGCCCCCACCAGUAUUCAACAAAACAAUGGCACGCCAGGCAGAGGUCCCACCGAUCUCGAGCGUACGUCGGUGUCCCCGGCCGUACGGCACUAGCGCGAUCGCCAGGCCGCAGGAGCACCGGCUGGCAGUCUCUGGCACGCGCCCGGACCAGUGUCCCCGUCCCCGACCCGAAAUUCUGGCAGCCAUGGCCCGCGCGGCCGCGAACGAGCCGAGCUGCGUGUGCGCCGCUGCGCGCGUGCACAGUAGUGAGAAACCACGCGCGCGCCUCGAACACGUUGCCAGGUGGAGAGCGUACCAGGGUGCCGCUGCUACCGGCCACUAACAUGCGCGGCGCCUUCGCGCGCAGCUUCGUCGCACGGUGGGGGGACGCGACGGCGACCCGAUCGCUCCGUUGGAUAUAGCGGGAGCCGGAGCCGGGAGCCGCCGUGCCGAGGCGGAUGGCGUUGCGUCGCGUGCGGCGUCAGCAGAGUGGGGAGUCCUGGCCUGGCGCAACAACCAACCAGCCAAACGGCGCGUACGGAGGUGGGGGUGGGUUCCGCUAGCGUUUUGGCUUUGGUCAGUGGCGCGCGGCAGGGGAAGGGCGGGGAGCUGCAGCUGCUAGCUGGAGCCGCACUGGCCUCCGACCGCAAACCGCGUGGAGGUGAUGCGGAGGGGGUGACCGCCUGACGGGGACAGGUGAUGGAUGAGAGGGAUAUGGCCUCGGGAUCGAUCAGCUACCAUGUCCUGCCUCCUGUGGCGGGCGGGCGCGACCGGGCAUGGAAACGAAAUGAUGGGUGGAUGCUGUGGUGGGGGAUUCCGCUCCGGGAUAGCGAUGGGUGCUUCCUUUCCAUGCUUUGGUCGCGCUGACGUAGCUCGGCGUAGGACUCUACUCGAUCUGCUCGGGCAAUCCAUCUGUACUUGAUCGGCUGGCACUGGCAAGCCGUGCGAUCGAUUGUACGACGUGACACUGAUCGGGGCAUCGGGCACAUGUUUACCGUACUGUCUGAGCUACAAAUACUUAAGCGUAUGCGUUGUGGACUUGGGCCAGUGUACCCACGGAAGAAGGAAUGACAAAAAUGUGCCGGAGCCCGGAGACAAGUGACGGUGGGCGGGGGCAUCGUGCCAGCGCAAGCCUUGGUUCAUGGUAGCUGCUUCAAAAGUUCAGCCUGUAUGAACGCAAAGCCAUCCCUCGUCGUUCGACGCCACGCAUGGUUUGAGCGCAUGUACACGUGGGCACUCAGCGAGCGUAUAUUUGGUAGCAACUAGCAAGCAAGCUUCGCUAAGUAGCGUUCUCACAUUCACAAACGCCAUGCUUUCUCACCUUGGGAUUCAAACACAUCAAUCGUUAAAAUUGUCCGGCUCCUGUUGAUGAACACAGACAGGUAGCUUUCAUGAUCAGUUUUCACGUACUGAUGCAAUGCAGGGAACAACGAACAAUGAAUUAUCUGAGCUCCCAGUCCCGCAUUGAACAUCACUGCAUCAGCUAGGCGACUGAACGAUCGACACCCAUUAGCUGCAUGCCUGCAGCAUCGCAAUGCGAAAUAAUGCUAUCCUAACCAAGGCCCUGACGGUCCAGAUGGAUUAGCAGUCUGUAUUGUUCCACGCGGUGAUGCCAGGCAUUCAGCCAGUGCUACAGACACCCGUACACUAAACAUGGAGUACUAUAAACAAGUGGCCAUUUUAGUCCAGAUCGAAAAGCGUGGUUAAUUGGCCGGCCAGUCCAACUCCGGGUCCCCGGCAUGCCGCCGCCGCCGCCGCCGCCCGGUUCCAGGCCACAGGCCGCCAGCUGCUGCCCUCCGGAUCCGAGCCCCACCGCGUGCUCGAUCUUGACUUGGGGCGUCCUCUCCUCUGUCCUCUCCAUGCCCUCCCUCCCUUUCCGUUCCUCCGUACACAAACACACACACUCCACGGACCACGGCCAUGCACUCCAUGCCAUCAUACCCUCGGCCCUGCUCGGUCCGACCGCCAUGCUGCUGCGGUCGUCGCCACUGAAACUGAACCGAACCUAGCUAGGAGGCUUGGCUAGCAGCAGCAGCCACACAGAGCACACAGAAAAUCUCUGCGUGCUCAGGCCCCAUCUAGCUGGUGGUCUCCGUGUGCCCAUGUCAUGUGAUUGGUCUAAGAAGGAAGCUACCACUGCUACUAGUAGUAAAACAAAAUGGAUUCCCCAUGACCUGUUCAGGAUGAGCUUGUUUAUGCGACGCAAACGGCCGGUGAGAAGACGAUCGAUCCUCCCAGGAAGGAAGAUACCUUGCGGCUCGGCUCUGUGUACUUGUUUAAUCGGGGGCGAUGUUCUGGUGCAAUGCAUUCAUUGGGCUGGCUGGGGUUCUGUUGGCCCAGGGGGCAGGAUGCCGGAGUAUACGAGUAUCUAAUUACCGACCAGGACAUUAAUCGGUCAAAGUAGGAUGCAUAGGGCUGUGGCCUUUUUCUUUCUUGGCUUGCAUGAUGAUGGAGUGAAGAAAAGGAUGGGUAAAAUGGCGUCCAGACGUGAUGCGAGUAGUGCAGUCUCCCAGUCAAGUCGUCAGUGAAUGGUGGUGCUUGUUUAUAGAGCUAGCUUUUCGCAUGAUGCGAUGUUUGAUAAAGGUUUACAACUAGAAAUGUGGUUAGAAAGCUAAACAUUACGAUUAGAUGAGUGUUUAGCAUUGCUACUGAUCUUCGUUUUGGCUUGCAAAUUUUUCCUUUAUGGCAGCCAAUGAUAAACAGCCUUGUGCCCUUUUUCGAUGCAGCAGUUGGUGAAAUUUCCUUCUUUAUUACAAUUGGCAAGAAUUCUUUAUUUUCUGCAAUUCACAAUCUACUCCUACUCUACAACAGGUAUGCCUUCUGAAAGGAAUCCCAACUAUGAGAGCACAUGGUAAUGUGGUAAACGAACCAACCUGCACUCAUCACUUUCUAGAUGACUAUCCUCGUGUCAAUAAAAGGACGAGUUGUCAUGUAUCGGUGUUACCCUGGGAUCGAGCACAUUGUGUGAAAGGCACAACCUGCCGACGAGUAUCCCUCGGCAUAUCAAACUGAGUGCUACAGCUUUCAACUAUCAAGGAAAAGGUGCAGUGAACAUGCUGUUUAUGAUGACCUCAUGAUCCAGCCUGACCAUGACUAUUCCCUAGUAGUUUAGUGCCGGUAAUGUUCGACUACCUGUUUGCCACGAUACACACAUAAAAGAAAGAUGACAUAUAUAUAUGCUAACAAGAGAGAUUGAGAGAGAGAGAGAGAAGACGGUCUUCUGUAAGUGCGAUGGAGAACCUGAAAUCCAGGAGGGUCAAAAGGCCAGGAAGGCAAGCUAGCGACCAAAACCCCGCCCCAUUUUUCAAACAGAAUUAACAUCAUAUCCCGAUCAGAUUCAGAUACUAUACUCGAUCGCUAGCACCACAUUAAAUUUGACAACAUUGCUUUCAGAUCUUUUCCCUUAUCUCGCUACAUGCAGCGGCAGACGUCCGCCUCAGACAGGUGUCCCGCGACGAAGAGCGAGGGAGGAACAGGUCUCCGAGAGGUCAUCGAUCGAUCAGCAAACUACUCAUAAAUAAGCGCGCGCAAGCCAACGGAUCAGCUGCCGUCAGAGGCCCACGCGCGACGCGGUUUAACAGCCUAGCCCGCAGAAGAAAAAUUCCCUCCGAUGUGAUGCGAUCGCUUCACGAUCGAGCCAUCCAUCCAUCCAUCCAUCAGCUCGUGUUUUUCUUUUCCGGGGGCUCGUCGGAUGGAUCGUCAAAGUGGAUGGAAAUGGACAGCGGGAGUGGUUAACCCCUUGCAGCAGCCGUAUCUUUCAGGCCUCGCCGGCAAGGAGCUGGCCUGCAUUAGGAGCAGGGGACAGCGGAUGGGCGAGGGAAGCUUCCGGUUACGUGCAAGCCUGCGAGAUGAUUCGCGUCUUGCCUUUUGGGCGAUUGGUUUUUCUAUUGUGCAUGUGAGGGGGAGGGUGUUAACCUGGCUAGCUGAAGGGCAGAGAAUUCUGCCGGCUGGAGAACUUGCAGGGUAUCGGUUACCUACUUGCUUGCCUAACAGUUGGGAUUCCGGGAGCGUGGUGUUGCGUUUUUGUAGCUCGGUUUUAGGUUUUCAGAUCUCCUGCCCAACUUUGUGCAGUUACUGUUUUCUGCUGUAGAUGGGUUAGUACUUGAUGUCAGGAUGCUUUGAAAGUUCUAUUCAGUUCUUCAGAAAAAGAUGGCAACUCUUCUUGCACCAGAAAAGGAGGGCCAUCUUAUAACUGUCUUGCACCAGAUUUCUUCUACUUGUUUGUGCGUGCUGUCUGGCCAAUGGUCAGGGGUAACUUUUGCCAAAGAGGACCAGAUGUUUUGCCGGAGUCAAGACUCACUUGAUCAUGGUUUACGACAUCCAUCUAGAUCCAGAAUCUGGGACAUAAGAAUUUCGGUUAUUUUGUACUUUUAAACCUAAGAUCCACAUCAACCGACAACAGCAUGCGAGACCAUUUCAAAAGUUUUAGACUUGAACCAGGCUACGUUGCAAGGAGAAUUGAGAAUAAAGAAGGAAUGUGCUGCAAAGUUAUAGGAAUUAGCGACAGCUAUACUGCAAAAACUUCUUACAUAAUAAUGAGAUUCCAACUACUACAUACUUUAUAUGAUAGUGUUCACAACAAUCACACGAGUGAUCUGCCUUUUACAGUCACUGAUAGUGUUUACUAAUAACGUGGUCAUGACAGUAAGUGAAAAAAGACGAUACAUUUUUCCUCUAAAAUAUCUUGUUUACUAAUAUCUUUUCUUAAAUAUCUUGCUUAGAGGUUAAGUCAGCCUAUCUAUACAAAGAGAGUAGAUAUAUAUCAAUCAAACAAGCAAAUAAGAUAAAUCAAUAUAUUAUCACAUUCUCUUUCUUUCAUCUUUGCUCUUGUGAUGUGGCUGCCACCAUCCAGCGAGGUCGUGUUGCUUCAGUUUAGGUCAUCUAAAUUCAUGUUCGUAACAGUUACUCGUCGUGUAUAUAUAUAUAUAUCAAAAUUUUAUCCCAAAAAUGGUAGAAAGACUUUACUAAAAUGUUUGUUUUGCUUGUUCCAAAAUUUUGGUAGAAAGUGGUAUAAUAGGCCCAUUAGAGUUAUAGGUGGAGAUAAGAUUAAAUAUGUUGCUUAGAGGUUAAGUCAGUCUGUCUAUUUAUAUAAAUAGAGUGUAUAGAUUAUGAGUGAUCUUUGUAUAAGCAAACAUGAAACAAAAACAUGAAACAAAAGAAAUAAAAGAAACGGCAACCUGAUGUAUAUGUGUUUAAGGUGCUAAAACUGCAUGCCAAACUGCUGCAUGGCUGCUCCUGCCAGGGUGCUUGCCUGUUUCAAUGCCUUUAAAUAGAAUGCAUUAACAGAAAACGCAUCACCAAAUUUACAGAAACAUAUCAUCAUCACAACUAAAGAGUUUUUUGAAAGUAGAUAAACUAUAACUUGGAUCGUUCAUCAGAUGCGGUUCUCAGACCAAUUGUUCAUCAUGCCUGACAAUAAGUGCCAUAAAAACCAUUGCAUGCCCAUCCAUACACCUAUUACACACAUGGUCAUGGAUGAUGAUAUCUCAGGUUGAUGUAGAACUGAUGAUACCCUCAGGUAGUGAAUUACGUGAUCCAUUCAACUUGUGAUUGAUUAAGUAUCAGAGAAUCUUACACCUAAGAUUCCUAAGAUUUUUCUUGUUCAACUCACAAAACGCCAUCUUACGAGUAUCUGGAUUAUAAUGCUUCAAGAACAUCAUCGCAAAGAACCUGCUGUCAUUACUGUCUUGACGAGGGAGACCAGUUAUAAUUGGCAUGCUCCAACUUGAGAAGUCGAACUUGCUCUGUGUGAUCUUCAAAAUAGCUUCACCCAGCCUCGUCCUUAUUUUAGAGGCUACUGGUGUGUGCCAUUUUUGCUUAUCUUUCAGCACUGUCGACCCGGAGUCCAACACAUCGAUUUGUCCAUAACUUUUGUUGACAAUGUAUACUGUCCAGUAUGAAUUAUGGCAGACGGGCAAGAGAAUCUAUGCAAAAAAAUAACCAUGAUACUGUGUAAGAAUUCAACUACAUGUCUAUCUUUCAAAAGUAUAUGUCUGGCUUUCGAAAUAUGCAACAACAAUAUAAGCAAAAUACUUAGAUGUCUGGCUUUCAAAAUUUGCUCAGCAUUGUAUUGUUGUUUCAGUUCUUCAACAAUUGAAUUAAUAUUGUAAUCUUCCUUCUUAAGCAACAGCAAUUCCUAUGAUGAGAAGAUAAAAGCAAUAUUAUAAGUGCACAGAAAAAAAGAUCAAUGAGGAUAAAAACACAUUAUAAGUGCACACAAAAUUUUCACUUACAGAAAUUUUAGGAUACAGGAAGAUCCUGUAACCCACAAUAUCUGGUCCAUGAUAACUUUCAUCAUCAAUGAGACAGCUUACAUACAUCGACAUCACCGUGUCUUCACAGAAACAUCUCGUUCCAAGAAUCGGUCACUACUUUGUUAUGAAGACUCAUGAAAACAACACUUGUGUUGGAAAUGGAAAUAAAUUAUUAUCAGUGCAAGUUUCAAGAACUACUGAACUAAAAGCAACAUCUACAAGUAAAGAAUGUACCUCGUGUAUUCUUCAUUGUCAAUUAUCUUUUCCCAAAGUUGCAAUUCCAAUUGUUCAUCAACCAGAUUUUGGGUCCAAGUAUCUUCUUUAUGGAAAGGGGAGACCAAUAAGCGGUCUCUUUGGACUACCAACUCUUUCCUUGCGUUAGCUUUCAAUGCCUCUUUGACAUUUCUUCCGUCCAAUGAACUCUUUUUCUUGGUUCGUAGAUCAUUUCUCUUUAAUUCUUUCUCGUUGAACUCAUCCCCAUCAUCUGAAUUUUCCCCACCUAAUGUCCCCCCAUCCUUGUCAUCUUCUUUCUUGUUGCCCUCAUCCCCAUCAUUUGAUUUUUCCCCCACCUGAUGUCCCCCCAUCCUUGUCAUCCUUCUCAUGUUCAAUUCAAACAAUGAAACUAGGCAGGCAAAACCCAGGUUAGGUAGGUAACAGCCCAGGUUCUAGAUAGGUAGAAUCCUACGCUGGUAAACUCCUACCUUUUGUUUCUUUUUCUUUCUUGCAUCUUUAUCUUCCAACAUCCUUUUUGAAUGCAUGUAUGUAAAUGCGCCGCUCAACACGUUAUCUUUGUGCUCAAGGAGGAACCAUGCAGUGUGUUGGCGGCAAAUGAGGAUUUCGUCCUGCAUUUUUAUCAACAAUGAGCACAAUCAACAGAAUCUAAUCUACAAGAGAAAUAUGAUAAGAGUUGCCCAGUUACCAAAGCUUGUGACUUGCUACAGAAAAGGCAGGACUAACCUCACCAAUGUUCUUGUAGUUUCCAUCCUUAUAUCUCAUUAUGUACAGAAGCGUAUGAAAACCACAAUCAUCACUGCAGAAAUAAGAACAUGAGCACGAAUUGAGGUAUGAAAUUAGCAAAUAACUUGAUAAAGUAUGACAUUAGGAAAUAGCUGAAAAUUUACAGGUUCUUUUGCUUCCAAACACUUGGUGUUGAAGAUAAGAAGUUAGUACAAUUUAGGCCUAUUGAACAAAGAAAGCGUCUCAGUGCGAUUAUCUGCAAGAGUGCAAUGGAUCAGUUGCGACAGCUUAGGGUGUAACGAAACAGUAUCAUAUAUUUUCUUUGCAAGGCAUUUGAUGUUGAAAAUAUCUAACUAGUCCUUCAUGACGUUUUGUGGAUCCCUCCAAGUCACUCAAGGAAUCAAGUACACUUAUAAGAGUUAAAUCCGGUUCCACCACAACCAAGGACCAGUGAUCUGAUGAAAGGAAUGGGACAAAAAUCUGCAAAAAAAGAAUCAAUCAAAUUAUUGAUGGUUAUGGCAUAACAGGCCAAUUGGGUCCAACUAGCCCACAUCAUAAGAUCCAUAUACAAUUCCUAAAAAGCUACUGCCAUAUCUACAAUUCCUAAACAGCUACUGCCAUAUCAUGCAGGUAAAAGCCCAGGUUCUAGACAAGAAAAAUCCUAGGUUAUAGGCAGGUAAAAUGAAAGGUUCAAGGCAGGUAAAAGCUAAGCUUUCGCUGGUAAACUCCUAGGUUUCAGCCUCAAGGUGUGGGUGUGUGUGACAUAGUCUGGAACCUAGAUUUUACCACCCCUAACUUGACAUUUUACCAGCCUGGGACCUGCCUGCCUGCCUCAAGGUGUGGGUGUGUGUGACACAGAGAGAGAGAGAGAGAGAGAGAGAGAGAGAGAGUUGAGAGUUCAAUGAAUCCUAAGCUAACAACUAUUACAUCAAAGAGAUAUAUUUAAGAAUACAAAUAGAACUAAAUAGAAUUGGAAAAGGUACAAACCAUUUUUAUUUCCGAUAUGUCAUAGUCUUUGAAUUCUCUUUCAAGAAAACCAGAUCUUUAUCCACCCCUAACAAUUGGUCCUAGAAAAAAAGCAUGGUGAAAGUUGAUCACUAAACAACAUAUAUAGGAAGCAGUAGUAAUAUUGCUAAUUGGCACUUACCACAGCACCCCUAGAAAGCAUAAUCAUGUCAUUCCUUGGCUUCCAUGAUUCCUUCAAUAUUAACCUGAAAAUUUCCAUGACAUCAUCGCACAAGUGACCACCUGGUUUGAAACUCUCCACAAACUUUAACUCCGUCAUCUGAAUGUCAUGUAUUUGCACUACAACAGUUUUAGCCAUCUCUUUUUUUUAUUUUUCUGUCUUCAAUUUGGACCUUGUAUUUGAUCUCAUUAUACAGCCGAGAUUUUUCUGUCUUCAAUUUGGGCCUUGUAUUUGAUCUCAUUAUACAGCCGAGAUCAUUUUGAAUGGUCUGCAACAAUGACCUUUAAAUCUUCAUUAGUGUUGUCCCUUAUUUUUUCAAGAUUUUCCUUUAGCAUGGCUUCACCAUACUUAAUCCUCCUAUUUAAUUCUCUCAAAAGAACACCCUUAUCACCCUCAUCAACCUCACAUUACUUGAGCAGAUUUUCCACAGAUAGAAAUCCAAUUUGUUGUCCUGUCACCUGAAAGGCCAAGGGAAUAAAAAAAUGACAGAUAACAUUGAUUUUAAUGGAUCUAUAAACGAUCCAAAUUAGGGAUUUGUCCUAACCUGUUGGUUUUUGGAAGCUGGUUGCUUUCCUUUGUGUCGUGGCACCUGAAAGCCAAGGGAAUUAAAAAAUGACUAAUAGCAUUGAUCUAUAUGGAUUUAUAAAUGCUAAAGUAGGAAUUUGUCCUAACCUGUUGCUUUUUGGAAGCUGGCCUGGGCUGGUACUUGGCAACCUGAAAUGCCACCAAUGUAAAGACAAUAUUUUUUAAUAUUCUGUAGUAGAAGAAUGGCACUUUUUGUUGGCAACAGCAACAGCUCAGCUGCUGCCCAGGUGAGCUCUCAGCUCACUCCCAGGUGACCAGAGGUAGGAGAAAGGGGAGAGGAAGAGAGAGCACAUCACACACAUACGCUAACUCUGUGCACAAUUGCUUUUGGUGCUGCUGAACUACUGAGAGCUACUGCUGCUCUCUACUUUAUACAUAGCAAAGUCAACGUACUGCUACCUAAUAUGGCUGAGCAGCAAGGCAUGCUUUGCCCUUCUACGUACAAUACAGCAGGGCAUGCUUUGCCCUUCUACUCAUUGCCCUGCAACCCUAUAUGGCUGAGCAGUAGGCACUUGAGGAGUUCUAGCCCUAUAUGGCUUAAGAGGAAUUCAGGGAGGAGCUUAGCAAUUACUUAACACACUUACCUCUUUUCUGAUCUCAUGUAUAUCCUUAAGAUUUCCUAGCAGCUUCUCAACUUUUUUGUUACCAUAGAGUUUGAUGAGUGGUUCAACCGACGGUUGUUCUGGCCCAGGUUGCGGCUCAAGAGUUUUGAUGAAACACAUCUGUCAAGCAGCACAAUCGAUCAAAGCAUAAUUUUUAUCAAGUUCGUAAAAGAAAUUGUUUUAGAGAUCCUCACUUACCAAGAGCAAAAGCGAGCUCCCCUCGACCUUUGAUUUGGUUUUCUUCUUUUGCCAGCUAGCGAUUUUAUUUUUCAAAUCUUGACAAACAAAUUUGCACCAGUUAAAAUUUUUCAUCCAACCAAAGUCUGAGCACAUCCCCACGUGCUGCUUUAAGAUGUAAUUGCUAUGAGUGGGUAUAAGAAGCUUGGAUACCACAAUGUAUAAGAAAGCAUGGGCUUGCUCAUACUUAUUAUCUUUGACAGAUUUUAUGUACCCGCUUACAGCCUCGACAGGGAUCUCUUUAGUUUCUUUAAAUGUAGUUUUUACCUUUUUAUUAACCUUACUCAUACGCACUACCUUUAACCCUUUACUUUUCAGAACCUGCCAAAAGUCCUCCCACUUCGUGCUCAAAGCAUAACAAGUCAAACAAUCAUUAUGGACAUAAAGCUUCUACCACAAUUUGUAUACUAAUGCAGUAAUCUUCGACAAUGCCAAGGCCAACCUAUCUCUUUGGAUCGUGAGAUUCAAAGACCAAAGUCCUUCUUCAUUUAGUUCAUUUUAAGGAGGAUAGUAAAUCACUUUUCAUUCAAUGGCUAAACUCUGUAACGUAAUUUAGUAUCCCUGUCCCUCUCUCCUCCCUCCCUUCUACCUCCUUGUAAGUAUCCCGCCUAGCUCAGUUCUACUUUUAUUUAUAAAUAAAAAUUGAAGUGUUGUGGGGAACUUUCCCCACAAUUGGCCCUUCCAAAAAAAAAGUUACGGAGGCAGAUAAAUGGUUAAAAGAGAAAAGGUAGGGACUAGAAUCAUGAUGAUGAUAAGGCAUGCUGAAAAAGCCUGAAGAUGUAGCUAUUCUCUUUUCUUUCGGUUAAUCUGGAGAGGAGAAGAAGUGGGAUGAACCUAUUGGUCCCCGUCGCCGUACAAGUUGAUUACACACAGAAAGAAGCGGAGCCUUCGAUUGCUGCGACAAGCAGAACCGCAAAAAUCGCUAUUAGUAUGACCUUGAAGACGGUAGAGGGGGAGGAGGUAGAUUAGUACGUUAGAGGGGAAAGGGGUAGGACCUUAAGAGGAGGAACCUGCUUGCCGCCGCCGCCGUAGUCGAUCCGCGAGUGGAAAGAAGCGAUGCCCUAGUUUUUUUUGAACUUUGGUGUUUCUGCCCCUAUUAUGAAGUCUAAUUGUAAUUUUACCCUCGUUUUUUGAACUUUGCGAUUUUGCCCCUUCCUUUUCAAAUUGAAGGUGCCAUUUACCCUCACUUUUAACUCUGUUAGUUGGAGCUACAUUAAAAAAAUAGUGAAAAUAGAAAAACCAUUCAGAGCAACGUGAAAAGACACAAGUACCCGUAAUCUUAUCCCUAAUUUUAUCCUCUCCCACCCGUGGGUUGCCCGACCCCAUUCGAUCUCGUCUUCCUCCCAAGAAACCCUAGGACAUCCUCGUCUUCCUUCCUGGCGGCAGCGGCUGGGUGAUGAGUUUCCCAACGCUCAGCGGUUGGAUUCGUGGGCGGGCGAGUGACAUCUUCGAGCACGCGGGCAGCCCCAGCUUGUGGGGGCCUAGGGGGCAGGUGCAUGGUGGCCCCAGGCGUGGGGGUGCAUGGUGGGCCCAGACACGUGCUAGCCCCAAGGUGCGGCCCCAGGCGCACGGCCAGGCCCCGGUGCGGGCUCUGCUCGGCUCGGCGCGGGCACUGUGACAUGCAGCAAGGUAGCAAGUAGGUAGCACAGCCAAGUUAGGUAAAUUCUCCACUUCCUCUGAUCUUGACUGUCUUUAGGUGCUUAGGUUAGGAGAUUUCACCGAUUUGUAGGACGAAUUAGAUAUGGUCUUUAGGGUGAUUUAGCUAACUGUAUGGUGUGAUUUGUAGGGCGAAUCACAUGGAUAUGCAACUUGUUGUUAGAGUUCGGUCAUUUUUUAGCAUGCCAUAUGGGGGAGGGUCAAAGAUGUGGAUGCAGGGUAAAACACUUCCAACACAAUUGGUUCACCCACAUAACUAUGGGCUGUUGUGGUUAGUUAAUUUCAUAGUUGAUCACUUCAUGUGGGGUUCUAAGCAGUACAUAACAUUGUGGUGUGAGUUGGACAAUUGUUCUAUUGAGAUAAAGUCUGAUGAGCAGUUGCUUGAUUGGAUUCAAAUGAAUGUAGAGAAGGGGGUAGUGCGCAUCAAUGCCCAGAUAAAUGAUUUCAAGGGUCUAUUGCAGUUUUCACCAACCAAAUGUAGGUGUCACCCUACUUUAAGGAAUAGAGCCACAAAUGUACACCCACAACCACAACCACAAAUGAGACAGCCACAAAAGUGAGGGCCACCAAUGAGAGUGUAGGAGUUAAUAAGGAGGGCAUGUACUCUGAUACGGAUUCAUUAAAGGCACUAAGUGAUAGUUGCUAUGACACGGAUUUGGCUGCAUCAUCCGACUCUAACUUUGAUCCUGAGUUUGACCCUGAUGGUGAAAUAGUUGAUGAGGAUGAUGAGUAUGAUCCUCCCCCUUUUCUUAUGAUGUUGAUGCUCCAUGUAUUGAUGUCAAUGUGGUGUUCCCAGAUGUGGACCAAUGCAAAUCAGCCGUUACCCAUCAUGCUACCUUGAAUGAUCAUGCAUUUGAAAUUGUGAAAAAAGAUCAUAGCUGGAUAGGCUAAAGAAGAAGUACUCAAUGGAAGUUCCAUAUGAUAGAGUUGUCAGAGGCAAACCGAGAGCAUUGGACAUGAUAUAUAGGAAGUGGGCUGACAACUAUGACUUGCUACCCACCUAUCAAGCUGAGCUUCUGAAAUCUGUACCUGGAAGCAUUGUUGAGCUUGAGAUCGAAGAGCACAAUGUUGAUGUGUGUUUCAUGAGGUUCUUUGUUGCACUUACACCAUGCAUUGAUGGGUUUUUGCAAGGGUGUAGGCCAUAUAUUGCCAUAGAUGCAAUCACCUGACAGGGAGGUCCAGAGGUUAGUUGGCAUUAGCUGUUAUAGUGGAUGGUCAUAAUUGGUUAUUUCUAGUGGCUUAUGGAGUGAUUGAAAUAGAGUCUAAGGAAAGUUGAACUUGGUUUGUCAAUAACUUGAAGAGGGCUAUUAGUACUCCUACCGGGUUGGUCAUUAGUACGGAUGCAGGCAAAGGAAUAGAGGUUGCUGUUGAUGAGGUGCAACCAGGAGUGGAACAUAGAGAAUGCAUAAGACACCUGUGGAAGAACAUGAAGAAGAACAGGUUCAACGGUGAGCUAUAUGGUAAGAAUAUGUGGUCAGCCGCCAAGAGCUUCGCAACUAACAGGUUCAACUACUUCAUGGGGAAGAUAGAGGAGAAGGAUCCUAGUGCACUUGCUUGGUUGGAUGACAAUCAUCCAUAUGUGUGGAGUAGAAGCAAAUUCUUCGAAGAUUGCAAGAUAGAUUACAUUAACAACAAUCUCUCUGAAUAUUUUAACAGUUGGGUGCCAAGAACCAAAGAUUACCAAAUUGUAGACAUGCAUGAUAGGAUAAGGCAAAUGAUAGUUGAGAAAUUUGUUUUGAGAUACAAGAUUGGUAGCAAAAUGUUCGGAAUAAUCAUCCCAGAUAUUAUCAAUGCUCUAAAUGCUAAAUCCAAAAUUAUCAAAGACCAUGAAGCACUAAUAUGUGGGGCUGGGAUAGCUGAAGUAACUGUGAAUAGAUUCAAGCAUGCAGUCAACUUGGAGCAAAAGACUUGUACAUGUAAAGCUUGGCAAGUGACUGGAAAGCCUUGCAGCCAUGCUUUAGCUUUCAUAGCCAUGCUUUAGCUUUCAUUGCUAAGCUUAAUAGGAAUGUACAGAUGGAUGACUUUGUCUAUGAGUACUUCUCUGUUGAUAGGUUCAAAAUGGCUUAUGCAUGCACUUUCAAUCCAAUGACAUUCAAGGACAGCUGGCCGCGUGUUGAUUUGGGGUACAAAAUUUAGAAGACCAAGCUGAGAAGGAAACCUGGAAGGCCAAGGAAAAGUAGAAUCAGAUCAUAUGAUGAGUUUGUUCAGAAUGCCAUGAACUAUGUCAUAUAGCCAAGUAUUGCCAAGGAGGUCCCACCGCUAGUAAAAAGAGGAAACUGUCAUUUUCACAAAAUGCAUCAGGAGAGGGGAUCAAUGACCCAAGUGUUGCACAAACAUCAAUGUGAAUCAUGAUUGGUCCAAUUUUCUUUCUUAUUUUGCUUACUUAGUCAUUGCUAAUUUUUCAUUACUUACCAUCAACUUGUUCACGACACAUUUUACUCCUUGUAUAUGAAGUGCAAGUACAAGUGGGAGUGGGAUUGAAAGGGGAAGGGGAAGGGGAAGGGGACAAGGAGGAGGAGGAGGAGGAGGAACAGGGAGCUUGGUUGCAUUGUUAGGUUUAGGUUCUUAAAUGUGAAGUUUGCUACUGGACAUGUAAUAGCUCUAAACUAUUUGGUGCUUUUGUUGGACAUGUAGUGUUUCUUUUGUUGGACUUGUAUGAUGGUGUGUGUUCUGGACCUUAUGUGAUGUGGACAUGUUUAUGUGAUUUGGGACAUAUAUCUCCUGGAUAUUUGUGUGAUUUGGAUAUCUGCAUGUGGUCUGGACAUGUUUAUAAUGAUGUCAGACUUUUGUCAAAUUUGUAACAUGAUGGUGGAAACAAAUGCAAAUAUGUGUAAUUUUUAAAUCUGUCAAUUUGCUGCAAAAUAUUGUACAACUGUUGUAAAAAAUCUAUGAAAAUGCUGCCCAAAAAUCUAUUUAAAUGCUGUCAAAAAUAGGGCAAAAUCACAAUCUCCUCAGUAAAGUAGGGGCAAAUUUGCAUGGGCAAACUUGUCAUUUUGUCGUUGUUUUAACACCGUUAACAGCGCUUCAUAGAAUAGAGGCAAACACUAUUUUCAGUUUGAAGAAGCAGGGGUAAAAUCGUAGAGUUAAAAAAAUGAGGGGGGAAUUGGGUGGCAUACCGGCCCAUCUUAACCAGUUAGCAUCCGAUCCCAAACUGGGCCCUCAUCCUCCUCGCAUACCGGCUCAUCUUAACCGGUUAGCAUCCCAAAAUGAGGCAUAAGGGAUACGUGAGCUUUGUUUUGAUCAUUUGAAUUUUGAAAAGUGAAUUUAUUAAAAUAUUGCUACUCCAUCAUUUUAAAUGAGUUAUUUAGUUUUUCCUAAAUCCAACUUAUCUAAUUUUGAUGAAAUUUCUAUAUAUAUAUAUAUAUCUUUAAUAUCUUUAAUAUCACACAGGAGUGUGUAAAAAAAUAUGAGUGUAGAUUUUCUUGGACCGGUCCCACACGCCACCACUGCUCCACACUCCUCGAUAAAGUAGUGAGCUGCCGGUGCCAGCGGUGCUCUUCAUCAGCGUUAUCGUCGUUCGCCCUCUCAUUUUUUUUUUUGCAUUUUAGAUUUUUCCUAGAAAGCAUUUGCCUCUGGCGCCAUGCAGAGUUGCAAACCAACUAGAACCUGGCAGAGUGAUCAAAUUACAGGUCGCUUAGCCCCUUCUUUAUUUAUGUUUCAAUUCUCUCAAGAGCUCAAAAAAAUUCAAACUCUCCUAUUGUGUUCUAUGAUGUAUAUGUGUUCCAUUUUAAGCAUUUGGAGCCUAAUAUUAUGUUUCAGUAUUCAGUUUAUUCGUUUCUACAUUGACUAAGCGUUACUUGGGCAUGCUGACACUUAGCUGAAGCAACAAAAACAUAUGGAAGUCAUCUGACCUCUUCUUUCUUGUCGUUUUAAUUAUCUAAACUCUAAAGAGCUCCAAAACAUGCAGACUACUCCUAUAUCUUGUCUAGAACGUCGAAACAUGCAGCAUUUGAGUGAGGGAUUUCACUAAACUUGGAUUUUAAGAAAAACAUGCGUAAAGAAAACUAAUCCACUGAGAAACAGGUAGGAGUAGUCUGCACCUCUGCAUGCUUGGUUGAUGUUUCAUAAAGUGCCACUUAACUUAAUUUUCCUUCUCAUUUUAAUUAUCUAAAGACCUCCAAACUUCUUCAAACUCGGCAAAUGUGCUUUAUGAUGUAUAUACUUUCCAUUUUGAGCAUCUGGGUAGUAACAUAUGUUGUAGUAUUAAAUGUAUUUAAUUAUAGAAAUGACUAAAUUUUCUUGAUUAUAAGAUGGUCUGAAGAUUCUCAAUUUUAUCAUGCUCGCUUAGGAACACAGAUCGCUUUGAGUGAGGUGGCUAAGGGUAAAACAUGAGAAACUAGUUAACCUUUCAUUUUACGAGAGGAUCCAUUCACUUCACUUUAUUUCCAGAUGUCAGGUAGCCAAGCGCAUGUAUUGCAUUGCAACACUCGCCCCUCUCCCUCCAGUUCUUCUUCAAUUGGCCCUGUCCUGGCCACCAUUCGUCGUCCUUCGUUUCGCUAGCUUCGUCUCCAGUCGGCUGCGUGCUGUGGUAGGCUCUAGGCAAGACUCAAGAAGACAAGGAGAGGAGCAUCUUCGGCGGCGCGGCGGCACCGCAGCAACAUCAGCUGAUCUCCUCAUACGCAAAGUCACUUUCAGUAUUGAUUAAUUGAAUAAACUGAAUAUUACAAUAUAUAUUAGUGUCCAAAUGCUCAAAAUGGAACAUAUACACAUCGUACGACACAUAUGGUGAGUUUGAAGAAUUUUGGAGGCCCGUAGCUAAAUAAAACAGGAAGGAAAAAUAUGCUAAGUGACAUGAAUUUAUGAUCAACUAACAACUUUUUGUACUCAGCUGGCCACGUAUUCUCCAGCGUGGAAAAUCACGGCGCCAAAUGAUAUGGUGUGGUGCCAUCUACCAAUGGCGCCGUGUACAAGAUCCAUUUCUGAGAUUCUUUCUCCAAGAGGUUCAAAUGUAAUUUUUUUUUGAAAAAGGACUAAAAUACAAAAAUAUACCCCUCUCAGCGUGUCUAUUCUCGGCGGCGUUGCUUGCAACUUUUACUACAGCUCCCUCACCGCCGCUCCACGGUAAAAGUCAUGAGCUGUCGGACGGGUACCAUGCUCAUUUGUUGCUUGAACGCAGGGGAAUCGUUCUUUUUUUUUCUUGAACGAACGGAAGGGGAAUCGUUCUCGCACGCUAGCUCUAGGCUCUACCAAACGCUCCCUAUCUCAUCCAUGAGGGUGAUGCUCUUCAUCGGUGUUAUUUAUUGCCCGCGUGUGGAGUCGUCCUACCGCGACAAGUCCCCGCUGUUGCGACACCCUCGUCGCCGACGGCAGCCUCUGAACGACUCCGCGCCGUCCGUGGUGGGAGGCGUGGCUCCACAUGUGGCUCUGGAUGCGGCGGCAUGCGCGUUGCCUGCAUUGCUACGUAGUACGCGUCCCGUGUCACCCAUUGUCCACCGGAUAUGAAUUGAAGCCAUCCAACAUCCCAAGCAUGCAGUUGAGUGCUGAGGGGCACCAAACGAGGCAACGAUUGCCUACUCUCAGGCUCCGGCUGCGACAUGCACCGCUCUGCGCCGGGCGCUCAAUAAGAUGCUCUACUCAAGGUCUGCCGCCGCCAAGCAGGCGAGCACACCGUACCGCGCAGACCCUGUCUACGCCAACUUCAAGCAUCAGGAUCAUGCCGAGUUCGAUGGGCUGUCAUCUGCAUGGAGCUGUGGCCGGGGUGAUGACCUCCAUGGAUGCCGAUGUGGGUUUUGUAUAGAGGCUCCAAUCGAAGUUGGCAUGGCAAAUUGGGACAGUAGCGGGAAACCAGAUUGCUAGUAAGCCUUUUUUCUGAAAGCAACUCCAGCGCCCCUACUUUCCCCUCCAGAGCGGUAGAGCAACUUCUCCAACGGUCACGACUCACGAGAAUGCCGCUGCUUCCAUGCCGCGCCGGUGGCUAUCCUCGCAUCCCCAGCCCCGUGCAAAGCCGAGCCGCCACUCGCCGGCUCGCCGCCCCUUCUUCGCCGCUAGGCCGCCAUUCAUCUCCCGCGUAGCCCCUUCCCCGGUCAAAUCAUGCCGUGCCCGUCAACGCAGCUGUUUUCACAAAGUCAAAUCAGGGGUAUUUGUAUCUUUAGUCCUAACUAAAAUUCAUGUCACAUCGAAUAUUCGGAGACUAAUUAGGAGGAUUAAACAUGAGUUAAUUAUAAAAUUAAUUACAUAUAUGGAGGCUAAUUCACGAGACGAAUCUAUUAAGCCUAAUUAAUCCAUCAUCAGCACAUGUUUACUGUAGCAUCACAUUGUCAAAUCAUGGACUAAUUAGACUUAAUAGAUUCGUCUCGCAAAUUAGCCUCCAUUUGUGCAAUUGGUUUUGUAAUUAAUCUAUAUUUAAUACUCUUAAUUAGCAUCUAAACAUUCGAUGUGACAGGAUUUUAGAACUCCUAAAGAACCAAAUACCCCUCAAUCUGAUAACAAAGAUUGAAUAAAUUUGAGGUCUGUCCUAGUAGAACCUAAAACACCUCACUUCAUUUUGGCUCCGGUGUUGGCGCGGCGCUGCCAGUCUUCCACUGCAAUGCUGUUUGUCUCUUGCCUUCAUAAUUUCAUAUGCGUAUUUCCUGUGAAACUGUGCUGACAGUUGCAGAGAAAUCACUAUGGAAGAUACAUGCAUUAACCUGCGAUGUGGAGUGGCUCCGUUUUGUUUUUUUCACCGGGCAUGAUAUUGGAGGCUAUGGAAGAUACAUGCAUUAACAUGCAUUGGUUUUUGGGUGCUCUGAUAUUGGAGGCCCAGCAAGCUAGGAGCACAGGAUGGACGGAAAGGUUUAGGGGUGGAGACAACUUCAAAUCCCUAAUUCUGCCAAAAAUUAAGGUAUCGGGGAUUUUUCUGCCUUAAAAAAAGUUUAUUCCUUCACCUGGUCCGACGGACGCGGGGCCAGCAGACAUGACGAUGAUGAUCACGGGGAUCGGCCUAAUGAAGCCCGCAAAUGACUGGGCUGCACGAAGCCCAUAUGCAGCCCAAAUACUGACGAGAGCGUUCGGAUCGCACUGCUCGCGGAAAUCCUAUCCAUAUUGCGGAAGAAACGUUCAACCUUUGAGAUUUGUGCGAGGAAAUAAGGUCCGUUAGAUGCAUUAGAUCCAAACCCUAACUCCCACACCUCUCCGGGAGGAUCGCCCUCCCAAUUCGAAGUUUUUUCCCCUGCCUGCGCCGUCGAGACCCCACCUGCACUGCCUCUCCUCCCUCCCCUACCUACACCGCCGCCCACCCCUCCCUCCCCUGCCGCCAGCACCAGCGCCACUGCGCACGGCACGGGCUCCGUGCGGGCUCGCCGGCUGGAGCCGGAGAAGAAGCUGAAAAAAUGUUGGAUCAGUUUUUUUUGAAAAAUGUUGGUGCAACUUUUUCGAAGAAAUGUUGAUCCAACUUUUUUUGAAAAAUGUUGGUCCAAUUUUUUUUAAAUGUUGAUAAUAUUUUCAAAAUGUUGAUAAUAUUUUUCAGUUAAAUAAACUUUUGAUUGCAGCAUACUAUAAUGAGUUUGCUGACUCGCUGAAUUUUACAGUUUCGUCCCCAUCUGCCGGUAGAGAAGCCCCCACCGCUCGCGGACGAGCAAUCUUCCCACAAUCUCCCUGACCCGCGGCGCCGUGCGUCGCGCCGUCACCGCUUCUGCGGCCAACGCUUCUGCCUCGUCGGCAACAACCAACAAUCCGCCGCCGAGCGAAGCAAGUAAAGCAACCGAGCCGAGUCGAUGGUGGCGGCGGCGCUAUCCGCGCUCCCGCGCGCCGCUUCCCGCCUUGCGCCGUGUGUCCGCCAGCCUGAUUUCCGCGCCCUCUGCGCCGCUGCUGCGGCCGGCGAGGCCUCGAAGCGGAGGCUAGUACUGUACACCAAGCCGGGGUGCUGCCUCUGUGACGGGCUCAAGGAGAAGCUUCACGCCGCCUCCCUGCUCGCCGGCACGCCCUACUCCCUCGCGUCCCUCGAGCUCCAGGCAAGACAAUUUUCUGGUCCUACUGCUAUGCAAUAACUAGUUCCUUCCCCGAUUUCUAUCUAUGCAUUAAUUAGUUCGUUCCGAGAUGGAUAUUUGCUUGACUUGGAUUUCGGAUGCCAACUAGGAGAGGGACAUCACGAUGAAUCCGGAGUGGGAGCGGCUGUACCAGUACGAGAUCCCAGUGCUGGCUAAGGUGCUCCACGACGGGACCGAGGUAUCAUUGCAUUCCUCUCUGAUUCAACUUUACUCGCCUCUAUUCCCUUUGAGUUUCAACCUUGCCCUCCUUAUGUACCAACUAUGAAGCUUUUCAAGCAUGUUUCGGUAUUGUGCUUUGUUUCGUGGAGCACCUCCCUAAGCCUUUCGUCGUUGUUGCAGGAAAUACUUCCCAGAUUAUCACCCCGUCUAAGUGUGGAGCUCGUACAGAAGAAAAUUUAUUCUGCCUUCGAUCAGUAAGGAGGCAUUUUUGGUGAAAAGAAUCUGAGUUUAUUUUAUGAAUCAAUAGCUCCAGCUGUAAGAUUAUCAGUUGAUACCAUCAUGUGUGAUGUAAACUUUCUUGAUUGCGAUACAUGAUUUUCAUUUUCCUUGACUUGCGCUCUGUAAGGAUUUCUUUUGGGUUUGUGCAUCAUCGCAUUGCUUUGAGAAAAGAAUUCAUAUAUGGUGACAUCCAAAUACUUAUGUUGGGUCUUCAGAAAUAUACACCAUGAAUCAUGAUACUUUUAAGAAAAAGAAAUAUGCAUCAUGAUGGUCAACGAUGUCACAAGGAAAUACAGAUUAUUGAACUGACCACCACAUGGAAUCAUAAAGGAGUGAAAUGUACACAGACAGAAGUAGAAGGGCAUAAAACCAGAAGUACAGAGAAAUUUUUCAGUGCUGAAACAAGAUUCAUUAGUAAACCAACAUGGAUGAGUAUCGUCUUCAUGCGAUGCUUGGGGCAAUGGGUAAGUUAUUUUAACUGACAGAUGGGCAAGCAAUUUAAUCACUGUUGCCCCUCUAUCAUUCUUGGAGGUUGGGAGUUAUCCAGCUUUCUGGUAAAUAACUUCCCAUUUUCUAUUUACACUUGACCGAGAUUUUUUACAAUGUUAGCCUAGGCACAACUACUUCAUACCCACCUUGGUGUUACAAGAAAAUUGCAUCCGAAGGAUCAUACUGUAGUAUAAACUGCAUGGACACGCCAGAUCUUUGAAAUUUACUUGACUGCUGAAGUACCUAAAGACCAUUCAGUGCAGAAACAGUAUUCAGAGUUUCAGACAAGCAACCAAAAUGCAUAUAUCCAUAGUCCUGUAUCCAUGUAGUUCAGUGCACUCUAAUUUGAGUCAGUUUGAAGCUUAGUAGUUGCAAUGAUGUUAAGAUAUGCUAUGAUUUUUUCAUUAACAAGAUGCAAAUCAAUAUUGUAAAAAAAUUGAAUAAAUUUGAGGGCUGUCUUUAUAAAACCUAAAAUAACUUACUUCAUUUUGAUUCCGUUACUGGUGCAAUGAAUGUCGGUGCUACCAGUGCAAUGCUGUUUUUCUUGCCUUCAGAUGCGUAUUUCCUGUGAAGCCAUGUUGACAGUUGCGGAGAUACACGCAUUAACCUGCGAUGUGGAGUGGCUUCAUUUUGUUUUUUCACCAAAGCAGGGCAUGAAAAUCCCCGGUAUGCAUUGGUUUUUGGUCGCUCUGAUAUUGGAGGCCAGGAAGGGAAUGGUGUUGGCAUUGGAGGCAAGCUAGGAGCACAGGAUGGAAUGAAAGCUUCUAGGAGUGGGGACAACUUCAAAUCCCUAAUUCUGCCAAAAAUUAAGGUAUUGAGGCCAAGGUUCCUUGAACUCCAUUCUGUGAUGAUUUGGGCUAGCUGUUUGAGCCUAUAAGGUUGUAGAAAAUUGCUGCGAUCUAUUGGGGCAAUGGAAACUUGGACCGUAACUGGUGCUGCAACCGUUGAACCAUUUGUAUUUGUUAACUUGACAAAUAAUUCCUGCAUUUCCAAUUUUGUAUAAAUAUUCUGACCUCAUGUCAAGAUCUUUAAAGAAAAAAAAUAUUCAAGGUACAUGUUAUUUAAGUGUACGAGAGGGAUAGACUGGGAUGACCUCAUCUGGUGUCUGCUGCAAUCUUAUUGCAAGCUCAUUCUUCAUCUCCUUAAGAAAUUCCCUUACUUCAUGAAUUGUCGAGUCAAAUGUGAUGUUGAAGAUAGGCUGAAUUGAGUCUGCAUGGGAAGCAUUAUGUGGAAGCAACACUGUAAUCCCUCCUGGGAAUCCCAGGAUCUCUAAGCAAAGUGGGUCUCCGAAAACAGAUGGUGUCAAAGAUAAAUUCAGCUGCUGAAGUGUAAGUCUUAUCAAAGAUGUUCUCAGUGUGUUGAUGGAUUUUACGCUCAUGGAGGCAUUUCUUGGGUCUGGAAGAACACCGAAUUUCACAUAAGUGGUGUUCGUGUAAUUGUAUGGACGCAUAGAAACUGAAACCUGCAGGAUUGUCAGCCAAUAUUCAGUGAGUACUUGGCAAAGUUUUCUUGUACUGAAAGAAACUCCAUACCUUACUAUUGGGCACUCCUAUUUGGUCAUAUAUCUCUUUUUCGAGUGUUCCGCCUUGUGAAGCUAUCUGUGAGUGUGGCACUAACAAAAUGAAGCCUGCCUCGAUUUCUGCUUGAGAAACGAAUGUAACUGUGUUAAAACAAGGUAGACGAGUGGGGAAAAUCUGGACGAACUCCUAACGUUAUCUGUUCUGCUAUACACUAGUAAUGUUUUCAUAUUCUACUUUAUUGAAUAUUUUGCCUCCUUUGUUUCAUUUUGAGGGAAACUGUGACCAUGAAGCUUUUGUCCCUGCUUUUGAGUUAGUUGUUCAGCACGCGUGAAGUCCUGGACUUACCGGCGAGUAUGUCAGGGUCAUCAGGGACGCCGCCUCCUGAUGCCCGGAGAUGAAGCAUCAUGAAGGCGGCGGAGAGGAAGCCGCCGACGGCCAGGAGCAGCACGGAGGCGCACUUUGCGCUGACCACCUUGCCGACGACUGCACCACACCGGCAGCGGCUGAACCUGGUCGCCGGCGCACCGUUGGGGAAGGCCUGCUCAGCGCGACCGGCCUUGCCCAUGGUGAGCGCAUCUGGCACUAGUUUCUCUCUCGGCUCGUCAGUGUGGAGAGGUCAUCAAAGCUGGAGGCGGCGGCUGCGUUGCGUUGGGGGAGAAAGCUGGAUGGAGAGCUGGCGCUGGUGCUCGCCGUUGCCGCAACGGCGACGCGAAUGGGGAUGGAUUUGGGUGUGUUUAGGAGCGGUAGAUGGGAAUGUUCGCAACGAUACGACAUAGGCCGGCUGUCAAUGGUUGUUGGUUUAGUUUUGAACGGAGGAAAAGGCUUUGUAGCUCCGGUUGUUUUGACUUUUAUCAGAAGGCCUUCUGUAUUAUUUCGCGUUCAUCUCAAUUUCGAUCUUCGCAUCGCAUCCACGAUGGUCAAUUCAGUUGUGGUGAAGUGAUGUCACAAAAGCAAGGUCAGUGCGAGCGUGCAUCACACUUGCGAUGAGCAAAACAAAACAAAAACUAGAUGUCCCGUUGAUGCUUACAAUGCUCCUGAUAACAUUUCUUUACACCAGUGCUCGGCAGAUCACGGGGCUGUACAAUUUCCCAAGAGGCACUAAGAAAUGUGCCCCUUCGCUAGUUCACACCUGCGCUUUGUACUCGUAGAACCUACUUCGCCAUCUCAUAGGCAGCCUAUUACAAAGAUUGCGAUUCGUUUCUGCCGUCAUUUCCAAGAGCUAGCAUCGGUAAUAACAAUGGUAAGGCAACAAGAACCCAUGUAGCCACAAUUUUUGCAGCUGAUAUGGGUUCACUUUUCUGAUUCUACAACAUGCCAGGAUGGAAUAUCCUGGCCAUAUCCAUGUGCUGAAGCCUGAAGGUAUGCAGACCUUCCCAGAAACAUAGAUAUUCCAUUCAAUCGUAGUUAAAUUACAUACAGUACAACUUGCUCAUCAGUCAUCACUGGUGUGAAACGUUCUAAACAAGACAAAAUUGUCCCAUCCAAGGUGAACAACAUUUUACAUUUGAGCCACAGUGCAACAUCAAAUGAGUAAAAUCUAGAUGAGCUUCUUCUUUCUGAAGAACCCUUGAAGAUGCCACAAUUGCAAGAUUGAUACCGCAAUGCAGACACCUAGCGACAGAAUACUGAACCAGGCAACCCUUGCGUUUGUUUUCUCGCUCACAAUUCGCAUCUCUGCUUCCCUGCAUGUACAGAUGAAAGCAAUCAUCAGCCAUGCCACUAAUCCUGUAGGGCAAGAAAUCUAUGGACUUCAUAUCUCAGACAUCAUCACACAUAUUCAUUUGUCAUAGAAAGAACAUUGAAGGUAGUGAAUUCAUUAGCAAAAGAUCUUCUAAACAAAAGUAAAACAAAUCCUCUGCUGUAUGACAGAUUGGAAGUUGAAAUCCAUAGAACUGAUAUAUCCAACCCCCUUUCGGUGCCAAUAUGCUAAAUUUUAUUUUUGAAGCAGAAGACUCGAUUGGCAGAAGACAUAUAGCUAAAAAAAUGUUUCCACAGAAGGUGGACGAGAUGACUUGCCUUGUUUUGAGGUAUAUCAAGUUCUGAUGAAUGGCCUGGACUGCCACUUCAAGUUUCUGAAGCUCGAGUUCUACACCCUGCAGAAAAAAAAGAGGUCGCAUUCAAUUGACAACACCAAAUAGUGCAUUGAAUAUGAGUUCAUGACAAUUGGAUAGAACUGUGGCUUGGUACUACAGUUCAUAUUCCAACCUCAAUUUUUUCUUUCUUAGCAAUAGCAUCCCAGUCCUUUGUUGCAAACCCAAUCUUCCAGUCAAGAUUCACAGAUACUCCUGAUCCUUUCUCUGCACUAUCUAUCCAGAAGCAUGCAAGGUAGUUUCCAGCUUCUGCAGUUGUGAAUGCAAAUUGACCAACUGUAGCAUUCUCAUUGUGAUGUAAGGUGUUCCCGUAUGGUGAAGUAACCUGCAAAAAGCAUCAGAUUUAUAUAAAAAUGACAGUAAGAGUUUACAGUAUGCUGGUAAUUCAUACAUCAGAUUUUCAACUCCAGACAAGUCUCAAUACUGUCAACAACAGAAGAAUCAAAAACUCAAUCAGAAUGAACUAACGUUUCUCAACUGCUUACUGAGACCUUUCUGAACUUGAAAUUUUGACCCUGAAAUAUAUUUAUAGUUGAAAUCAUGCCAUUCAAAAAACCUCAAAAUGACUAUAUGCACUCUCAACAUAACAGAACAUAUGCUCAGUACCUAGAUGUUGCAUCAGGGAUGUUCGGUGCACAUUAAAUCUGAGGUAAAAAACAAAGACGAUUCUUUACCAUGUAUGAUGGGGGUGAUGCAGACAAGAUAAAUCUUAGUAACUGCUAAUUUACAACAUCUGAAAGUCAGUUAAGCUAUCCUAUCAUGCCUGUUACCUUAGCUUUCCUCAGACAAAGGCACAAAGCCUAGAACAGUAGACAUAAAUGGAGUUUUGAAUAUAAAAAAAUAUUUAAAAAGCUGAGCACAGCUCUCUCUGCUCACUUCAGUGCUCUAACUUACUCGAUUUGUCCCCUUUUUGCCAUUCCUUCUUAUUCCAUAGCACUAGUACGAUUCUUAUCGAUUACAGUUUUACUGUCUACUUCUUAACCUCAUGGAAUUUUUACGUAGUUCGCUGGAAAAGAAAUCACCAGAUCCCCUAAAAUGAAUCACCUAGUAUUCUGUCCUGACUCAUGAAUGACAUCCUAGGUGGAAAGCACCAUUACUUAGACAGAAGGAACCAGCAUGGUUUGAGAAUCAACGCUGCAUCAUCAACAUGAAUCGUGCAAUUGAAUCUAGUUAAAGCAGCAGGCCUACGGCCACUGAUUUAUGACUAAUGCUCUGGUGUAGACAAAUCACACAAGCGAAACAAGUUUGGAUACAGACAUAGAGUGCUAAAAGUAGUAGAUGCCAACAGAUUCCUUGCUUUUCAGCCGGGAAACAUGUUACAUGACAUGAAGAAUUUACUCAUACACUCUAAGGCACGGUUUCUGGCUAUCUGCAGCACAAAUUCAGGCAGUUCAAUUCCCGAUAAAUUCAUGGUAUCCGGCAACUACAGGCCCAAGCAAAUUCAAAUGUUUAAACACUGCUCAGCUCCAUUUAAUGCAUAAAAUCAUCAUAGAAUGAAACUCUACCAUUCCAGACUAAUCGGCAUCGACAUCAAGGCUCGCUACACUGAAUCAGGGAAAGGAGAAGAACAUAAUCGCGGGAAGAGAACGGAUUACCUUGACGGCUAUGGUGGGGUGAGAGUCGGGGUGGGACUCGUACAUGAUGGAGUAGUCGGCGAGCACGACGACGUUGGACUGGAUCUCCUCCGACACGCACUUGGUCCCCGACUGCGGCACCUCCAGCCACACCGCCUCCGCGCGGAGCGACGCGACGGCAAGCACCACCGCGAGGGCCAGAGCCGCCGCCAUCUCGGCCGCCGGCCUAGGGAUCUCCGCCUCCCGGGGUCGGGUCGGGGAGGAAGGGAAGGGAGAGCCUGUCAGCUGGAGACUAGUAGUAGUGGCGUCGGCAGAUGAGACGACGACGGCUGAAGAAGUCGGGGAGCAGUUUUGAAGGAGAGGGGCGCACGUGACGUGGUCACGUGAUGCCGUCUUCACGCGAUGGAUGUAUGACAAGUGGGACCCGUUAUGACGUGUCUGUGCUUGUUGUUUGCAGUCUGAAGACAAAAAAAAAAAAUCUCGAAACUCCUUCUGUGUCACAGACAGGACAGAGCAAUUCGAAGCAGAUCUAAACUGAAUCCUUCACAGGUGAUCAGGCCAGAAUGGGGCAAUAUUUUCUUUUUUCUUUUUUUAAAAAAAUAUUCUCUAGGAAACUCUUCAGGAGCGAUCCUUUUGAUCCGGAAAGAUGCAAAAUAUUGCGCAUACGAACAAAUGAUAAAUUUAAGAUGAAUUUGAUGUAUGGUUAAUAAUAAAGAUGAAUUUUGAUGGCGAAUGCUCCAGUGAUCAGGAGGAUUGAUUCUGGCUGUCACUUUCUGAUUGGCUGAUCGCCGUAUGGAAUUUGCUUUUCAGCCAUAGAAUGGAGUGUGGAAGUGGAACCAUCUCAUUUUCGCCGAUGUCGUCACGUAAGGCCCCAAAAGAAGACACUCGCCAAUUCAAAAAAAAAAACUGUUUCUUGCUUUUGUAGUCAGAUUUCACAAAGCGUAGUGUUUCUGAAAUUUGGAUUACAGCAGUCACGUUUCUCAGGCCAUUCUCUGGGCAGGAAGACUAAUGGUGAAGGACGCUCGAGACACCUGCCGCACAGGUGAUUGCUUCCACUGGGAGGUUAUCGGCAACGGCGCCUGACCUCGCCUCCAGCGUUAUCUCCAAGCAGAGGGAGGCAGCAGUGCACCAUGUCGAUUGUCGAAGGCGCAGACCGGCCAGGAGAGAAGCCCCCUGUUGGCCAUGACCCCGAGCAUGGCCGGCCGGAGCAUGCACCGUCCUUGGGCGAGACGGAUCAAACAAACGCGGCGAGCCUCCGGUGAUCGCCGGAGCGCCAAUGGCGGUGGUGACUGGCGAGGCCGGAGAAGCAGCGCGACGGAAUGGCGCGAGGGCGGGGAAGCGCUCGGAACGCGUUUGCAUUGGGGUUCCCUUCUUUAAUCUCGUCCGCUAGAAAUGUAUCGGGUGGCUUUGCGUACCCCAGGGGUGGACGGUAAAUGAAAUACCGUCCACCCCUGAGAUACAGUCCGCCCCGGAUCGCCGCGGCGAGCUGGGAGGCAGCGAGGGAACACAGCAUGAGGACCCGGGAGCCUUGGAACUCUGUAGGCUGGCCGAGCUGCCAUGGGCGCUCGCGCCGCGGGAGCAGGAUCGCUCGCGGUAGGCCAAGCGCGCCGCGGGUGGCCGAGUAGCGCUAGUGCGGGCCGGCUUGGCGGCGAUGGCGCUGCGACCGCCAUGUCCGUGUCUGCGACUGGAUAGAACGAAAGAUGAUCAAUUGACAUUGUCCGAGCUGGUUUUUUUUCCCGGCAACAAAGUGACAGCAAGCAGAGUUUCAGGCAAUCGAGGCCCUGAUCUGUUUUUCCCCUAAAAAGAUUGUGCAUCUGUAUAAGUAGCAAAAAGCUGAUUGCCUGAUCUUAUGAUAAUGUGUUGUGAAGUCCAGGCACGAGAAACCUGGAAAAAGGAAGAAAAGAAUUGCAGCUAGUCUGAUACAACAUGGCGCAGAAGUUCAGAGCAAGAUGAAACCAUUGAACUUGGCACAACGCUAGGUUGCUAGCGCAAGCGAAACGGAGUGAGAUAAUUGCCAGUUUUGCCACGGCCGUCUCCCCUCUGGGCUCUGGCCACUUAUGUUCAUGCGAUUCAGCGUUCGCAAUUGCAAUGCAUACUUGCACGUUGCAUCUGUAUUAACUGAUGAGCAUUGGAAUGGAUGGAAACAAACGUGCAAAUGACUUGCUCCAAACUGAAAUAAUUUUCACGAACUGCAAGGCAGCAGAAAACGUAACAGUAAGCAGAGCUGUAAGAGUUCCACUGCCCAAUUAGACGCUGUUCGGGGUGUGAAGAUAACAGGCCUGAACAUUUCUUUCAGUAAAUGCAGAAAAGAACUCUAAGAUUGUUCACAUGUCCUGAUGUCCAGCCUUGCACUUCAUUAACCAAAUCUCAGUGACACAACUAGCUCAGUUAAUUAUCGAUACUGCAGAUCGUGAUACAAUUAUACAAAUAUCAACACUUCGCAUCUAAUUUUAUGGUCCAAUUAGGUGAACUGGUGAAGUGGAGCGCAGCAGUCGGUGGCUUCAGUUUUUGUCAGAUAUCCAUCAUCAUGCGGUCAUGCAUGCCUACCCGGCUGCCAAUGGCCGGGGUUUCUAGUCGACGCUUGACGGCGCCAUCAGUCUCUCUGACCACCUCUUGGCCUCCUCACCGUCAAGGCGUCAACAUCUCCUGCCUGCGCGCACGGAAGCAUCAUGUCAGGCAGUAAGCUGGGCACCAUGUCUUGAAGGCGUGGAUCUCAACCAAGGAUUUAAGCUGCCUGGUCGCCAUGAUCCAUGUUCGGCAUACCCGCACGCUCGAUGGCGCGCAAGCAGUUGAGGAUGAUAAGGAUUCUUGACAAAUCUAAGAAACUCCUGCACCGGUUCGCAAGACCCGAGAGCUCACCGGAGGCCGGCGAAGAGCGCGGCGGGACGACGAGAGGGCGCAGAAGCUCUCAGUUCUUGCGGAGCGAAUACGAGCGCAGCCACCGCCAUACGCGGGCGUCGCAUCGCCAAGCUGCAUGCUUAGCCGCCACCUGUGGGGCUAGCUGAGGUCGGCGGCAGCGGGGCGAACUCGUGCCAUGUCGCCGGCAGGAAUAUUUACAAUAGCACCCUCAGUAUCUUACAAAUACCCCCCCUGGUGUGGAUCGCGAUUAAUAGUCGCGAUCCGAUUGUAUGCAAAUAUACCCCUAAUAAUUUUUUACAUAUGCCCCACUAAUUUGGAUCGCGAUCCGAUUAUAUGCAAAUAGCUCCCUAAUCUGAAUAUUUGUUUUGCAAAGACCCCCCGGUUCGGCCGUCGGUCUCCCUCAUCCUCCUGCCCUGCGCAGUCGACCGCCGCUGCCUUCCGUCCCUGCCAGAAGCCCUACCCAUAGGCAGCUGUUCUGCUCUGCCAACCGCGCCCCCUCCUAUGUAUGGCUGGAGAAGAAGACGACGUGAGAAGGAAGAAGAAAGCAUCCGCAGUCCGCACCGCGAGCAAUUGGGCCUUGGGCCCUUACACGCAUCGUGCUCUACCUGGGCCUUCCUUUUGGGCCUCCGAUGCCUUGCUUUUGCCUGUCAGUCAAGUCUGCCUACUCGCACUUGACUAUUCAAUGAUAGGGACAGAUGGGUUUGGAAGAGAAGUCGCUUGUUCCGUUGUUCCUCUUCAGUCCUCUCUCUGCACAUUCCAUUCUCCCGGCCAUCGUCAGGCAGAAUACAGAACAGCGCCGACUGUCCUGUCCAUGCAUGAGCCACAAAGUCCCCAGAUGAUAAGAGUGUCAGCAGAUACGCAUCUCCUCUCGCAUUUUUAAACCAAAUCUUCGACACUGUUAUCCUGCACUACUAACCAUAGAAAAUUAAAGCAGAGGAUGGCAGGAAUCAACGUGUGACAUCCUCAAAAGCGGGCACCCAUUUGGGUUUCCUUGUCGAUUUCAGGGCGUCAAUUAACAAGCAAAAGCUUGCAAUUAGUGGGUGCACCAAGGGAGAAUGCAGAUCAAAUCAAAGGUGAGCAGGCAUAGCAAAUGCGAAGCUGAUCGAUCAUCGCCUCGGACGAUCGCAUUAAGCAGAUUAAAGGGAGGGCAUUAAUAGGCACUGAUGGAGUUAAUUAAUUCCAGCUCUACGUAAGCAGAAGAGCUGAUCUUUUUUUGCUGAUUGAUUAAGCAACCCGGUGCCUUAUCCAUUACAUCAGGUAAGGGGUCCUUCUCUCUGUCUCUCUUGCUUGCACUCUCUCUCUCUCUCUCUCACAAGAAUUUCAGGAGGAAGUAAACAGAACGGGAUUAAGAAGGAAAAAAUCGCACCAGUUUUGUAUGCUCCAACUCGAUCGAUCUAUGGACCGACUGGACGACAGCCAUGACACGUGUCUAGCUAGAACACUGACUGCCAACGAUGUGGAGCCCGCUGAUGCUGCUUCUUUAAGAGUAGGUAGGAGGACAAGGACUAGUAGUGGCCGUUGGUCGCCGGCGUCUCGACGUCGAAGACGAGGCCGCGGGUGUUGCCGAGCUCGUGCUUGCCGUUGCCGUUGGUCUGCGCCAAGGUGAUGGGGAGCUCGCCGCCGGCCGCGGCGGCGCCCUUGGAGACGUCGGCGACCUGAUUCUCGUGGUCCUUGCUCUUGCCCCAGAUGAGCGCGUACAGGCCUAGCACGAUGAUCACCGCGCCGAUCACACUGGAACAGCAAAAGAAGGGUUGCGUGACGAUGGCAUUAGCACUAGUACUAUAUACAUGUAUAUCUUCAGAAAUAUCUGGAUAUGAUGUAAAGCAUAUAGAAUCGUAUACGUGGACUGCACGUCAAUUUUGUACCUUCCAAGUGUGAUCUCUUCCUUGAGUAUGAUGGAACCCAUCACGGAGGUUACGAUCAUGCACAGAGGGCUGAAGGCUGUCACGAACACCGGGCCUCGUUGCCUCGACACGACACCUUGCACGUAGUAGGCCACGCCGGAGCACACUACGCCCUGGAAUCAUCAGAAUCCAUGGGCCAUGGCUGCUGUCAGCGGACACGUAGUUCGUUGGAUGUAAGAACGCAUGCAAGGAGGCGGCCGGCUAGCUUACGGCGUAGACGGCGGUGAAGAGGCGGGUGUCGAAGCCGAUGACCCAGGCCUGGGUGUUGCGGCGCUCGGCGACGAGCGCGACGGCGCCGCUCAUCAGGGAGCCCAUGAGGCAGAUGAGCGCCGUCAGCGACAGCUCCGCGGGGUAGCUCUGCAGCGUGUUGGACUGGAGGACGAAGAAGCCCGACCACGCGACGCAGGCGACGAUGACGCACAGGGUGCCCUGGAGGAAGCCACCGCCGCCGACCUGGGCGCCGCCGCCGUCGUGGUGCUGCCCCUUGGUCCACGGGAACGGCACCACGGGGCCGUGGUACAGGAUCAUGAGCACCGCGCCGACGACGGUGAGCGCCGUGCCGGCAAUCUUGGCCUUGCUGUGCAAGCUCCGCAGCCGCACCUUCUCUAUCCGCAGGAAGAGGGCCAUGACAAAUGUGAUGGCCGGGAGGACGUUCACCAGCGCCGACGCGAAGCCGGCGGAGGUCAGGUUCGCCCCCAUGUAGUACAGGUUCUGAUCGAGCACAGGCCUGCAAGUUCACAUGUACGUGAGAUCUCCAUCGAGCUCUGUAUAGUGUGUUGUCAUACGAGUAUAUAUGAUGAUUUGUACGUACUCGAGUAUGGCGAGCCCCAUGAUCUUGAGGAAGAUGGUAAAGGUCAUCUUUGGCCUCACGCUCCUGCACCAAUGGAGAUCACAAUUAAGCAAAGAGCUAGUUGUGUGUGGAUUUAUCAUGGUGCAGAGUAAGAUGCAAAUAGUAAAAUAAACAGAGCAUGAUGCAUCCAGUCAAUCCCAAAGACAAAACUACUGCUUCAUUUUUUUUUAAAAAAAAAGACAAAACUACUGCAUGGUCAACUGUCCAGUCAUGCAGGUCAUGCACCAUCAUAUCACCCUGAUGGUGAUGGACUAUUGUCUACUGACAUUUUUGGACAUGGUGGUUCUACUUCUACAGCGUGUGUGAUUUAGGUCACCAGAACAAAUAUUUACAGUGUGUGUAUUCUGAUUUAACAACACAUUAUGACAACGAAAGCCGCGAAAGAAUAUACUUUUUGUUCAGGAUGCGGGUACGGAAUAGAAUAGGCGUGCUACUUUCGCCGACUAGGAUCUGCAAGCGCUGGUCGUGGACCAUGCACCAUCUGAAAGCGACCACUGAAGUGCUACGUCGGCUAAGCCUUUGCAGUUGCAGACAAAAUGGAUGAACUAACUACUCUUAGAUCCGAUGCGUGACUAACAAGUUUGACACCUCCUAUGUGAUGGAUGAACAUCAGAACACAUGAACGCAAGUAGUGCAUAUGCCACAACAACUCUUUUCUCCUGAUGUAUGCACUUGCAUGACAUGCAUGCGUUGGCAGCAUACGAAGUGUUGAAGCUAGCAGACAACGAUGGAGACGAGAUCGAAUCCAUCGUGUCCACAGAGAGUGCGAGAGAGAGACGCCUAGAGGGAACUGAAUGGUGGUGGUGGAGCGACCGACAUGAUGAAUUGAUGAUUACCUCUCGAACCAGAGCGCGAAGGGCGCCAUGACGGCGGUGGCGACGACGUUCCGGUACACGACGAGGACGAAGUGGCUCAUCCCGCGCUUGAGGGAGGCGACGGCGACGACGUACAUCCCGGCGAACCCUACCUGCAGCAGGAUCAUGGCCAGGUACGGCUUCACAUCGUUCAGAACCUUUCCCACACCCAUUCUGCCCCCGCCCGAUCAAAUCAAACAGUAAUCUCUCUCUGCUCUCUCUCUCUCUCUCUCUCUCUCUCUCUCUCUCUCUCUCUCUCUCUCUCUCUCUCUCUCUCUCUCUCUCUCUCAGAACUCCAAGCCUUCUUCCUCUCACUCGCACUUGCUGCUUCUAGCUGUGGCUACUACCUCGAGCUCCUCUCAAGACAAGCAAGCUAUGGCAGUGAGGAGGCAGCGAGCUCACCGAACCAUUUAUAUAGGCGCGCCCUCGUCACACUGUGGCUGUGGGCGCGCACGGCGCAGUGCAUCAGGCGUAGCUAUCGAAGUUGGAUGAGCCGAGAUGCCAAGUGCAGCCAUUGAUGGAUCCGAGUCACGGGCACGGGGCACCCCCCCCCCCCCCCCCCCCCCCCGGCUGUCCGUUGCAGUGCUGGCUUAGCUAAUUGUUCCUUGUUUAAUAUUCCACUUCCGGCGAAAGGAGAAGCCCAUCGGCCUCCCCCCUCCGCCCUAGCUAUUCCUGCUUUUCGCCCCGGGCCUUUUCCCCCGGAAAAAAUGCAGGGCGCACGUAGACGCUACGGGAGUUAGGCAUCUUUUUCAGCUGCUGCUGCUGCCCCGGUCGAAGGGGAGGUCGAUCCGAUCGAAUACUUGCGGCAGGGAGGAGGAACCAUCAGAGCCGUCAGGUCAAGAGUUGUGGGAGUUAGCUGGACCUGCUUGGGCAGAGGUCUCACGGCCCCGAUUGGCUAGUGCUUGCAUUUUCUUUUCUUUCUUUCUUUUCUGAUGAAAAAGAAGUGCUUGCAUUGUCGACAGCAUAUAUCGUGAUCGAUUAGGGAGAGAGCAGUGUGGAUUAUGGAACAUGCUGUUAUUAGUCAGCUGAUAAGAUGUGGCAUCGAUACUCGCCUGCCGCCAGACAAAUGUUAUAUUCUCUUCGGUCAUCAGGCUAAUUGGCUAAUUCGAAAAGAAGAUAGGUUCUGUGAAGAGUUUAUAGCUAGGUUGUCACACAAGACAUGAAAACAGCUACAACGACUGCUGCAAACUAGGCGUGAGGGCUGGCAUUAUCGUCGUCGUCGUUCUUGUGUUGUUUCUGUUUUCUUCCAGAUCGUCUGAUACUCUGACAGAAUGAAGUAGAGACGACUACCAUUCCCGACCCCAGUGCUUUCCUGAAAGAAAAAAAAUGAAGUAGAGACAUUCCUUUUUAGUUGGCUCCACUAGUAAGGCUUUUGCUCCAACCCACCUCAUCCUUGAGAUCCACUAAACUAUGCCUCGUCGACUCCAGCAGCCAAACACAUCAGGCUCCUUCCCGAAGCAGCCGGCACACGCUCGCCAAGUCGCCAUUGUUACUAUACUACCAUGCAUGUGUUGUCGCCGUCUAGUAUAUCACAUCUGCCACCGCACUAACUCCAAAUUGAAAUUAUUGCUUCCCAGUGUCAACAGUUCACCAUCCUUCUGCACAUCUCACCUCGUCACCGUACCGCAGGUUUGGUGUACCAGCGGUAUGGUUCAGUUGGUUCUGCAUGUGUUGCUUUCUACUCGAUGACACUCGUGGUCACCGUCACCGUUCUACUCAUGAUAAUCAUGGUUCCAUACUUACCACCUUGGUGGUUCCUGUCCUAGUGGCCGCUGUCAAUUCUGUAACCAGCUCUUGAACAUACUCCCUUCAAUCAUAAAUAUAAGCACCAUCAUAACAUCUACUAGUAUGAGACUUUUGACUUGUAAUAUAUAUCCUUUAAAACUUGUGUCUCAAAGUAGAGUUCAUAUUCCGGAACUAUUCUUCAUCAGGGCAUUGUCAGUGUGAGGUUUUGUUGCGCAGUUUAUAAGAGGACAAUGCUAUCUAAAGAUAUUUGAGUUGAUGGAUGAAACUAAGUCUCAUAAAAUUUCAUUUCACUAUUUCAUAGGCUAGUAUAUCAUCUAAAUGUUGCAUUUAAGUUAUCAAUGGGAGUAGAUGAAACAUGUGGAGAUUAAACACAAACCCUCUCAAUGGAGUUUCGCAUGUUUCCAACGUGUUGAAAACAAUGAGCACCAAUUUCUAUCUCUCCACAUAAAUGUUUUGUCAUGUCACCAUAUUACCUGAGGUGGAGAAUGAAACAAAUACGAAACUUCCACUGAGAAUAACCUAACGAGCAUAUUGAUAAGAUUGAACUACCUCGGCCUAGGUCCACGAGUACGACGCGACUAGGAUCUUCUAGAGCUUUCAACUAGGUAUCUUGGGAAGGUUACUAGUAAAUACGUGGGGAUUCAGUCAAGUACAUCAUAAAGUUUUCUAAUUUUAUCUCUAAGGUUCAAGUCGGUUAUGACUAGGCCUAUUUCCAAAGGAUUUGGUGAGAACUACUCAUAUACACCUAGAUUUUAGGAGGAUAUGGUGGACAAAUAAUUGUACAUCAAGCACGAGCCUAAACUUGUCGAGAUCGAACCAUCAUGUUCUUGCCAAGCCAUAGUAUACCCUAGGUCAUAUCUCCACACCCAUAUAAGUACGUUAAGACACAAGCCUCAUAUUAUACUCUAUUCAUCACCAAUGCAAAUAAGGACAUAGGAUGUAGGUUUAUUAUCCGGCCUUGGAGAGCGACACUAGCAUCCUGUAGGUACCAUUAUUUUGUGCAAAUAAAUAUUAUUAUCGAUUUUGGUACUUCCAAGUACUUUUUUCUUUAAUUUUUAUCCUUAGAGAGCGAUACUCGGAUCCUACAAGAUCGGAGUAAUAUAAUUAAAAAAUAAAUUAAAUUACUACUUUUUGUACUUGGUCCCACCUAUUUGAUACUUCUUGGUACUUUUCUCUAGAUACCUUUAAAUACUUCGUAUUUUUCCACCGCACAAUUUCUCUGAAUGGACAGCUCACAUUUUUUUUGACUACUACAGAACUGACUUUAGAUGCCACCCCCUUUAGUCUCGGUUUAAUGUCGACCCGGGAGAAAAGGGGGUGUGCUACAAUUUACUCCCGGUUGGUAUUUGCAAUCGGGACUAAAGGGGACCUUUUAGUCCCGGUUCAAAAAUCAACCACCCGUGGCGAUCCUUUAGUCCCGGUUGAAAAAUUCAGGCACACGUGGGGGACCCUUUAGUCCUGGUUGGUAAGAUCAACCGGGACUAAAACGUCACCCUUUAGUCCCGGUUAGUAUUACCACCCAGGACUAAAGCAACCGGGAUAAAAGGGGGUCCUUUAGUCCUGGUUGGAAACUCCAACCGGGAUAAAAGGGUCCCCACGGAUGGCUGAAAAAAGAAUAAAGCCCUCGGACCCUCUCCUAUGUGUGGCUGGGAAAGGACUAAAUCCCUCGAACCUUUUUAUCCCGGUUGGUAUUACCAACCGGGAUUAAAUGAGGUCUUUAAUCCUGUUUGGUGUUACCAACCCGGAUCAAAGGGUCCUCCAUGAGUUAAUACAAAAGGAUAGCAUCCCCCAAUAUAAACAUAUGCGGUGUAUAGGUGGGAUGGCAAGGAAGCUACGCGUGAGGCUUGAGGUCAUGGGUUCGAAUCUCACGGACCGCGCACGCGCAUAUUUUGCGUGAAAAAUCGCGUGACUUGUGACUUGCGUGCACGUUCAUUUAGUCCCGGUUGGUAUUACCAACCGAGAUAAAAGGGGCGGGAGGCAGCCCCUGGCAUGGCGAUAGACUAAAAGAGGGUCUUAUAUCCCGAUUUUGGGACCCGUGAUAAAAGAUCCUCCCUUUUAUCUCGACAGAUUAAUCCCGGAUGUAUUUUCGGGAGAUAUGCAUCCUACAAACCGGUACUAAUAUCGAGUUUUCUAGUAGUGUUCCAAUCAUUAUGAAAAUCCUUUGUCAACAAUAGUGCACUGUUAAAGACGAAGACUCUUAUUCCAAUACUAGAUCUAGGUGUGCCAUUUUGUCUUGGUUUCGUGAUACCAACGUCACUUGGGCAUUUCCAACAAGGUACAAUCACCUUUUUUCUCCUGAAAUGGAAAGUUUUAUUGAUUUCAAUUUUGUUACAUCAAGAUGGUAUAAAGAGGUUGAAAUACCCCGGGCCUCUUCUUAGAAGCACACAACCUUACAAAAGAGUUAAAGGAAGAGAGAGCGUAGAUUGUUAGCUACUAAUCCAAGUUAGUUGCACUCUCUCCCUUCCUUGAUGGUCACGUUUGAACUUGCCACGGAAUCGGAAGAGAUGGCGGAGAUGAACCACGUGCUGCAAGGUGACGGGGAUGCCUUACGACUUAAUAUUUACAGUUUAGAUCAGAUUUUUUUCGUUAAUAAGGUCCUACGACCCUGUUACAUCUCUCGAGCAGUCGAUCUUAACCGUUGAGCCACGCACACACCCCCUGACUCCCUGAGUUGCAUUGAGCAAGUGCAGCAUAACCUGAGUUGCAUUGAUCAACAAAUGCAGCAUAACCAUGGGUCAGCGAGAAAAAGACAUUAGUCGCGGACACGCAACUCCGACACUCGUCGGAAUGCGCUCAGACAUCAUCGUCGCGCCCCCCUCCUCCUCCGUCCAUCCAAUGAGCGAAGAAGGAAGCCACGAGAUCGAGCAGUUAGGGCGGGAGGAGGAGAGCACACAUCGGCAUCGCUGUGCUGCGCCUUUUUCACAAUUAAGUGACCACGCGCGAGAGGAGAGAGAUAUCGAGAGGGAGGAGGGCGCGGCGGGUCCGGCAUCUCCACCACCUCGCUAGCUAAUGGAGGCAAUCAGGGCAUGGUGCCCGUCCUGCUCGCCAGCUGCUGGCUGGCUAAGCUAGUACUACCACCAGCUAGUGCUUGCUGAUGCAUUCGCCUGCAGGUGCUCCCGUGCCCGGCAGGCCGUGGUGCGCUCCUGUUAGGAUCCGCAUCGCCUCCGUCGUCGUCGUCCUCUCUCCCCCUCUCUCCUCCAACCCUGUCCCGGGCACUGCAAAGAAAGUAACUCCCCCAAUUACCUCGCCUCCGGUUUGGUAUAUAGAAGUGUACGUCAAACAACUACUCCCCGAUGAGGGAUGCGUCAGUGGCGUACACGGGAUAGGAGCGUGUAUCCCUGGGUGCCGAUCGGGUUGACGAGCUAGUGCUGGCCUGGCCACUACGACGCGGAGUAGUAGAUGUCUAGCUAUCGUCUAUCUGCACGCACGCGCGUACGAAAUAAAGGCAGUGCAGUGCAAAAGAGAUGAAAAGGGGGGCGUCAGAUAAGACUGGGAUCGGAGCAUGUCCCGGGCGAAUCGAUGAUCGGCAGUGUUGCGCACUUCCGCGUCGCCGCGCGCGGCCGCGGCCGGCUCCGGUUCCUCCCUUCUGCCGUCCAGUUCAGCCGCAGGUCAGCUAGGGCAAGUUGCAGGGCUGGCCGGCACAAGUCAAGAGGGAUUUGGGCACCCACCCAUUAUAGAAUGCGUGCCGCGGGCAGAAAGGCCGGCCGCGAGCCGCGACAUUGCUGGUAAUACCGUAGCAUAUGCAGUGGCUUACACAUUGGACACUGUCCUUUGGUCCGGAGAUCGACCACUUGGGUAGCUAGCUAGAUGCCCCCUAGAUCACUUACCUGAAAGAUAAGGUAAUAGCUGAUAACAGCCUGAUACUGCACAGAGUUUGCUAUUUACAUUGCACAUUUGCACGUGAAAAAUAUUACUACUCGGGACAUGACCAGGGUGAUCAGGCAAUUAAGCUGCAAAAAUCGUUCUCUAUCCGUGGUGGUGUGGCUUUGAAACCCCCUGGACGACCCUGGUCGUUUCACUGACUAACGGAAGUCUGACUCUUAACCACGUCGGACAGUGGUGUCCGAUUCAAUCAUGAGUUUAAUUUGUCUUCGCCGGCACGCCGUAUCCGCCUUUUGGCUCCUGUCGCCGUCACCGCAUCUUGAAAAGGAGCUCCAACUCCAAGGCAAAAAUACAUGCACUUGCCCGCAUCACUCGCACACCGCCAGCGCCGGCAGUCCGGUGUUGGGAGCCAGCAGGAGGGCCGGAGGAAGGAAGCAUCAUGAGCACACGCUCCACAACGCCGCGCCGGCCGGCUGAAUCUCACGCACUGCAGCCACUCGCCUUUCCCUUUCCUCAGGUCAAUAUCUGUGACAGCGGAAAGGAAAUUACGUGCGCCACGGCCAGUUGGUGCUGCCGACGACGACGCCAUGGGUGAUGCCGUGAUGGUGCGCUGCGCAUCCAUCCAUGCAGAGCACAGCAAUAACGCCAAACGAUGGGCUCGUCACACAGCUGAUCGCGAUCGAUCUUGAUUAGGAAUUUCCACUGCCAAGUUGCUCCCCGGCCGGCCUGUGCUGCACCUGCACUCCACACUGUUCCCUGGGCGACGGCACAACUGCCUGCCUCAUCAGCGAUUAAUAAUCUGCAUGACUACCACUAGUAUAUAUUCUACCUUAUUAGUUACUAUUCCAUAUGUAUAUAUAAUAUAUGUAUAAGGACAGCACAGAAUCAACAGAGACGCAUUUGAUAUCAGUCGUGCUCAGAGAAUCGAAUGAUUUCAGCAUCAGCUUCUUAUUAAAGAUCGGAUCCAUCAGCUAAUGGAGGCUGCUGGGUAAUGCUAACCUUGUCACAUGGGGCUAACGGAGAACCAACGAAUAUUCAGCUGAAAGCUGAUGCUUACGUGAAUCGCGUGACGCCAUUAGCAUCAAUGAUUUGCGACUUUUGCGACACCCGACUCGCCUAAACUUUUGCUUAAAUGCUUAAUUUGGUGCUUAAUUAAGAUAUGGAGUUCCUGCCACUUCAAUCACGGCUAGAAAUAUGAUCAUUCGUCCUUAACUUUUCAUCCGGUACUAAUACCCUAAAUUAGUACCGGGUAGAAAUUUUCAGUCCUCGAAGACCUUUUAGUACUGAGCAACAACACCAGUAUCCCGUAGAGUACUAUUUAGUACCGGUCAAUAACACUGACCGGUAUUAAAUGGUGACAUUUAGUACCGGUUGGUGUUAUUGACUGUUACUAAAGGUCUCUCCACGGGUUAUUUGAAAAAGAAAGCAUAUCUAACUCAAUCACAUGUAUUGUGUAGGUGAGAUGGUAAGGAAGAUUCGCGCGAGGCUUAAAGGUCAUGGGUUUGAAUCCCACGGACCGUGUACGCGCAUAUUACGUGUGACUUGUGACUUGAGACGAUGCGCGUAUGCGGCGCAAAACCAUUUAGUACCGGGCAUUUUGACCGGUACUAAAUGGCGUGGUAUUUAGUACGAACAAACGAUACCGGUGGUACGAAAGCUAAAGUUCCCCAGUGGAUAUUGCGAUAUUCUGGAAAUGCUCCCCGCUUUGUUCGAAAGAAGAAUAGUCCUCUUUUUGGUGAUCUUAUCCGUUGGAGUACAUUCCGCAUUCUCAUCACCCAAUUUGAAACUGUUUAAUUCAAGAAUAUUAAUAUUAGACUUGCUAACAAAUUCCAGUUAAAAAGUCAAAUAUAUAACUUUCUCUAAUAAUUUAUCUACUGGGCCUGGAAGUUCUAUUCCUACUUUAUUACUUAGUAUUCAGUAAAACUGACGCUGUCCUAUGCCGCUAAUCCAAAAGAAAAUUAGGUUGGAAGUUCUCUCUCGCUUAACACUAGUAUUUUGCAACUCCCUCUGCUUGCUUUAAAUACAUGACUACGUUUAUGACGAGCUAAUCAAUUAAGAAUAAACUAAUUAACUUAUCCUUAACGUUAUACUACUCUAUCAACUCGUGCUCCCGCACGGAUUAAUAUUUUAAAACUAUUGUAUUUGAAAAUUAUUUAAAAAAUAAAUUCCUACCUAAUGAUCAAAAUUGUUACCUACUACUCCGUCGUAUUUUCAAUACUCCAACAUAAUACUUAUAUAGCAUGUGUACUUAUCUUUGUUCAAUUAUGAUUGAUUUUUAAUUAUUAAUUACUCUAUACAUAUUUUCAUCUACAUACUUUUUUCAUUUUGUAUCGCACCUUGAAAGAAGGUGUUUAGCAUAAAAUUAAUGUUUUUCAUCACUUCCUCACAUACAUAUAUAAAUGGUCUACAUGGUGACAUCCAUCAUGCGUAUAUACCUUAACUUAGUAUUUCUAUAUUAACAAUGACAUAAAUAGGUAAUUUAGCAAUUUUGGAUAUUUACGUAUGAUGCGCAUGAAGAUAAUUAGAUUAUGAUUUAGGUGUUUACUUUAGAUUAUUUUUAAUGAUGGCAUAAGUGGGUAACUUAUAUACAAAUUUAGAAUGACAUUUGAAGUAAUGCUUUAUAAUGAUAUGCAUGAGUAAAUUGGAUGAAGAUUAUGGUGUUACUUUAGAUUAUUUUUUCUAAUGGUAGAGCUCGAUAAUUUAGAUAUUAGUUUACAAUUUAUUUUAGAAUAUUUUCAUAAUGAUAAUGGUGGGUAAAAUUUUUGAAAAUAUAACAGACCAAUGACUAUAAUUAUUAGAGUUUACAAGAAUGAUAAUUGAUGAAUAUGAUUUUUUUGAGAAUUUAUAAUUUAUAUUUUUUUCUAGCGUGUCUCAUGAGAACUAAUGCGGAGCCUCCCAAGAAAAAAAAUAAGACCACAUUGAUUAAAAAAACUAUUACCUUGAGUUACCUCUCAUUUGUCAAAUAUUCGAAGUCAAUACUUAUAUAGAUAUAAUGAUAUAUACUUAUUAUCUUCAUCCGAUUGUGAUAGAUUUUAGUUAGUAAUUGUAAUCUUUAAAUUUUCACUUUAUGUUGCAGAUAUGUGCUUGGAUUUGUCUACGACAUGUGUUUGAAUUUGUUUAAUAGUUCAAAGUUUGAGCUACAAUUUUAAUAUAGAAAUCUAUAUUCUCAUCAUUUUAUCUAUAUCUUUAUAAAUAGUGAGACACAUCAUGCAUAUAUACCGUAAUAUCAAUAGUGUAAGAAUUAGACAAUGUUGAAUCACAUACUUAUGUGUAUUUUUAAUUAAGGUGAUUUGGAUUUAAAUUAAGGAUAUCUUAUGUUAUUUUUAAUAAUAGCAUAUGUGGGUAAUAUAGAUGCGAAUUUAAGGAGCUACUUUAAAUUAUUUUUAAGUAUUAGUGGUGGGAAAUUUAGUUGCAUUUUAGGUUAUUUAAUAAAAAAAUAUAAUGGCAUAAGUGGGUAAUUUUGACGAAGAUUAGGGGGUUAAUGGAAAUUUAAGGAGCUACUUUAAAUUAUUUUUUAAGUAUUAGUGGUGGGCAAUUUAGUUGCAUUUUGGGUUAUUUAAUAAAAAAUGUAAUGGCAUAAGUGGGUAAUUUUGACGAAGAUUAGGGGGUUACUUUAGUUUAUUUUAUAUAAUGACAGAGGUGAGCAAUUUAAAUAUAGGUUUAGAGGGUUAGUUUAGGCUAUUUCCAUAAUGGCAUAGGUGGGUAAUAGAUCUAAUGGCUAUGAUGAUUUGAGUCUACCGAUUGAUAGCUAGAUGUUUUGCUUUUUUUUUUAGAAUUUCUAGUAUUUCUCUCUUUUUCUAAAGUGACCACUUAGAAUCCUAGGUGGCUUUCACUCGAAAGCUUCAAAAGGAAUCUCCAAUUAAUAAUAUCAAUAAUAGUAAGAUACUUAACAACGAAUGGGGCACUGAUUAGGCGCUGCGAUAUUUAAAAGACGUGCUUAUCUCUGAAUUGUCGUCUCGGCCAUCUUUUAGAAUCAAACACAUCCCUCCUGACUGCAGAGCCAACCAGCACUGAGGCUAAUGCACUUCGCCAAACAUUAUUCCAUAACCUUCUGGAACGAAUGUUGCGUACGGUGGCAGCAACCAAAUGGUGUUUUCAGCAUUCUUACAUUGGACAUUUCUGAACACAGUCAUGGCGCAGCUUCUGCAAGUUGAAAUUGGCAUCGAAAUAAAGCCACGCGGAAGAUAAUCACUAAUAAGUUACUACUAGCUAGUAGUAGUGCUGCCCUCAUCUCAUCAAAAUUCGUAACUGAACCGGCCUUGACGCAAUAUUAACAAAAACUUCUGUGUGCAAACCUUGCAGAGUUGCGUGUUACUUCCUUCUUAAGGCGCCUUCACAAUUCAGCACUUUUUUUUCUUUUUUGAUUUUUUGACCCGAAAUUCAGCAAUCAUCAUGUUUUUGCCAAUUUAAAGAACAACUUGUCCUCGAUUCACAUGUGGAAUACUCCACAAAAUCGCGUCCGUCAUGUUAUUAAUGGUUGGGAUUACAAUCCAUGGUUAAGUAGAACAAUGAAGGCACAUGACAUGUUGCCAAUUUGUCAUGGGAAAAGAUCAAGGGGAUAUGUGUAUUUGCAAACACACAAAUUCCCAGGGACCACGACAUCUUGGGCAAAGGGCACCAAUCAUGUCAUAUCCCAUUCCCAUAGGUGAACCCUUCUUGUGUCCUGCUUUUCCAUCGUCGUGGAGUCAUUCGGCAUUUCGGCCCCGUAUUGAGGCAUCGAACGGACUGCCAUCGCCAUGGAUCGCCGGCGGCCGGCCAAUGCAAGACCUACACACUGAUCAUGCUGCAGCAAUGAGCCGGCUAGCAGGGUUUGGAAAUUUCACAGUGAGGAUUUCAGACAAUUUCUGUAAAAGUGGUCAGGCGAACCCUGAGAUCCUAUCCUGCAGUGCCCGGCCAAGGCGGCAUUAGCAGACACUAUCCGUCCAAAUCUCCAAUCCAAUUGGAUUCGCUCGGUGACGCUGAUAUCCGCGAAGCAAGCCAGGGAUGUAGUGCCAACCCACCUUCAUUCUGGGCCGGGCUUUCCCAAAUCUUGAUGACUCUUGAUGACUCGGCUGGCCCUUACUAGCCCAGCAGCCCACGAAACAUUCCUCGAAUCUCCGGAUAUCCGUGCCGGCAACACAAGACAGCAGGUCGGGCCCACCUGGUCAGCUAAGCCUGCUGCUAGCCACCACCCGUCCACCCCGUGCAAAUCCUUUUUUUGAUAAAGCCCCGAGCUAAUCCUUGGCCUCGUCAUCCGCAGCCCCCACUCCUCAGUGGCCACCGCCGCCGCCUCCUUUUUCCAACUCCUCCUUCCUCCACCACCACCGUACCCGGCGGCCCCCGGAGCCCGCGCAGAUGGCGACCGCGGCCACGGCGUCCGCGACCGCGGCGACCCGCUUCACGCUCCUAGCGGGCGCCGGCCUCCGCAGCCGCGCCGCCCGCCUCCCCACUGCCGUGCGGUUCCAGCGCCAGCGGGGGCUCACCACCACCGCGCUUCUCAAGACCGCCGACCUCCGCCCCAAGGAGCAGGGCCAGCCCGAGACGCUCGACUACCGCGUGUUCCUCGUCGACGGCGGGGGCCGGAAGGUGUCGCCGUGGCACGACGUGCCGCUGCGCGCCGGGGACGGGGUGUUCCACUUCAUCGUUGAGAUCCCCAAGGAGAGCAGCGCCAAGAUGGAGGUCGCCACCGACGAGGCCUUCACGCCCAUCAAGCAGGACACCAAGAAGGGCAACCUCCGAUACUACCCGUAAGGACUUUUGAACCGGGAAAAUUGGAUAAGAAAUUUGCAGUUCUUGACUUACGGUUUAUUUUGUCCUUUUAGAAAAAAAAAUAUCGCCUCUUUUGUUCUAAUUGGAACUAAAACAUGAAAAUCGAGGGCGUGAUGGUAUUCAAUUAAAUGAUAACGUAUAGUAGAAAAGUUGACAUUUUAAAAGGUUUUCGCUCUCUUGAUCCAAUCUGAUGGAUUCUCGUUGUUUCUACCUUUUGGGUUGGCUAUGCAACAGCACCUGUGGUCUAUAUUGUAGUGGGAAAGUUCUGUAGCCUGUAGGUUACUAAAAUUGUUUUGAUGGGAACUGAAAUUGCUAGUCUGGCUUCUUAGUUUGGUGCAAUUCAGCAAUUCAGAUUUGAUGUUGGUCUUUAUGUGAAGUAAUCCUAAUCUUUUCAGUUUGGCAUGUAAGGUCAUGGAAACAAUGGAGUGGCUAAAUAGUUCAUUCAAACUGCUCUGGUCGAAUGCUUGUGGCUGUCACUGCUGUCAAUAUACCCAUUACAGUAUAUCCUAUAAAGGAUGAAAAGGGGUAUUUAGCUUGGUGUUUGUAUUUCAAGUGACAAGGUUUCCAUCAUCUUUGGUUCUUUUGUUAAUGAGUAGAUUGAGAAGAAAAAACUUUUACAGAGAUAUCCUCAAGGAGAAUGGUAGUUGUAAUCAUGCUAGAAACUUAUGAUUCAGUAAGGUACAUUGAUGAAAUGAACAAGGGGAAUUUGUUCUCGAUUAAAAGUCUGACGCUGCUCUGUUAUGCUUUGACUUGAUUUCUUUAUUUUUGGGAUAAUACAAUAUUCAAUGAAGUUUCUUUUUUUUAUGUUGUUAUCAGGCUUCAACUGUGAAACAUACAUGCUUGUUGGAGAUGCAAUUGAGUUUACACUGUUAUUGGCCUCACAGCGCAUUUUUGCACAGCUUUCUUUGACAUUACUUGUUACAUCAGGUACAAUAUUAAUUGGAACUAUGGAUUAUUGCCUCAAACAUGGGAGGACCCGACUUCUGCAAAUUCUGAUGUGGAAGGAGCAUUCGGAGAUAAUGAUCCUGGUAAUGGACAUUUUUAUUUGUUAUCUUUGAAAAAUGUGGUUUCCAUAUUAACUUCGGGUUAUCUAAAUCUUUCUUUCCUGUGGCUUUAUUUUCCAGUUGAUGUUGUUGAGAUAGGUGAAAGACGUGCCAAUAUUGGGGAUGUUCUUAAGGUUAAACCAUUGGCAGCUCUAGCAAUGAUAGAUGAGGGGGAGCUUGACUGGAAAAUUGUGGCCAUUUCUUUGGACGACCCCAAAGCAUCUCUUGUGAAUGAUGUGGAUGAUGUUGAGAAGCAUUUUCCGGUAUGAUUGUGGUCCCUGUCCUUCUCUUUUAGUGCUUGUCCUUGUUCUCCUUCAGUAUCUAGUGCCAAUGUCUCUGGUGGCAAGUGGGGGCAUUUCUCCAUGUUAUGUCACUCUUAUUACUAUUUUUUUUCUUGAGAAAAAAGUGUCACUGUUUUUAUUUUGCCUUUUAAAAAAACAGUUGAAGCAAAUAUUGCAUAAAAUACUCACUCGCUGUUCAUGUAUUGGAAAGUGGGAUGCCUUCAUAUCAUGCCACUUUUCACUACUGAUUUCUGUUUUUAGUUUUUGAGGUUCAGCUGAAGAGUCUGAAAGUAAAUCAUUGGUAGCAAACUUUGGCAUUGACAAGGGAUAAAUGUUACCCCUAUGAUGAUCUUACCCGAAUUAGUUUGUCCUUGUUUUUUGUGUUGUUGUUAGGUUUGUGCGUUGAGUUCAAUCACACUGUCCAUACUGCAACGUUGCCUGCGCAGCCAAUGUCCACUUUCUCUUACAUUUGUUUUGGCCAUUUUGUAAUUUGAUCAGGGGACACUGACUGCCAUCAGAGACUGGUUCAGAGACUACAAGAUACCAGAUGGAAAGCCUGCCAAUAGAUUUGGUCUCGGCAACAAGCCCGCAAGCAAGGUAAGUCUUAACUUCUUUGUUUAGCCUGAAGCACGGAGAUUAUUCUUGCAAUCUUAUGGUAUCCUUGUUCGUGUCAACUAGGAAUAUGCUCUGAAGGUCAUUCAGGAAACCAACGAAUCAUGGGAGAAAUUGGUGAAGAGGAAUGUCCCUGCUGGAGAGCUCUCACUAGCCUAAUCUUCUUUGGUCCAUGGGAAGCCACAACAUUCUUUGAACUGCAUUCUUCUUAAGCAUGUCGUUUUGUAUGCUGUAAGCAUGCUUCUUCAUUUGCAGACCUUUUUGCGAACCGUUUAACAGGAAUAAUCUUGUCGAGUGAAUAAUGAUUCUGGAGCGAGUUCUCCAUAAUGCAACGCUGGAGAGGAAUUAUUCUUGAGCGACUGAAUAUUAUUGCGUGUAUCACUCUCUCCCUCAAAAAAGGAAAAAUAAAUAUUGUGUGUAUCACUCUCUCCCUCAAAAACUGAAAAAUAAAUAAAGAUAAGCAGCAUGUUUUCCAAAAUGGAAACUCAUUCAGGGGUGUUUAGAUACCUCCUGCUAAACUAUUUAGGGGUCCGGCUAAACUUUAGCACCUGUCAUAUUGGAUGUUUGGAUACUAAUUAGGAGUAUUAAAUAUAGUCUAAUUACAAAAUUAAUUGCACAGAUGGAGUCUAACUCGCGAGAUGAAUCUAUUAAGCCUAAUUAGUCCAUGAUUUGACAAUGUGGUGCUUACAUUUGCUAAUGAUGGAUUAAUUAGCUUUAAUAGAUUCGUCUCGCGAAUUAGACUCCAUAUGUGCAAUUAGAAACAUAGUCUAAUUACAAAAUUAAUUGCACAUAUGGAGUCUAAUUCGCGAGAUAAAUCUAUUAAGCCUAAUUAGUUCAUGAUUUGACAAUGUGGUGCUUACAUUUGCUAAUGAUGGAUUAAUUAGCUUUAAUAGAUUCGUCUCGCGAAUUAGACUCCAUACGUGCAAUUAGUUUUGUAAUUAGCUCAUAUUUAAUAUUAAUUAACAUCCGAACAUCCGAUGUGACCCUGCUAAAGUUUAGCACUUCGUAUCCAAACACCCCCUCAGGAAGUCGGAACACUAGUAAACUGAGCCAAAGUAGUUUCAGGCCGUUAAGCAAGUCUUUUACAGCACGAUUAAACAUCGUUUUUGGUGUUGGAUUGUUACAUCUCAGAAGUCAAUAUAGAUAAAAUAUAUCGCAUGCGCAGAAGUUGCAAACCCAACUACCAGAGGCCUGGGAGCUCAAGGAUUUCAUUCGAGUUUUGCAGGAAAAAAUUUCGAUUCCUGCAAGGACAUCAUCGCCCCUGCACGAACCUAAGAGAGAAUUCCCCUGCGCAAAAAUAAGGCCUAAAACUGUAGCAAAAGCAACCACUUUGAUGAUUAGAUCCUACAGAAACUGGUGCGAUCAGGGAAUAAAAAAAACUUCGACUUGAUUACGAUGCAGAGAGCAAUCCUGGAGGUUGUUCACCUUCUAGAGGUCCUCAGCACUUAAAGUUGUGCCUUGCCAAGAGUUACCAACUAACAAUCCAUUUGUGCCUUACCUGCAGAGUGUUCGUGUUUAGCACCAGGUACCAACUCCGUUGUAUGAACAGUAUAAGUGAUUUACCCGGAAAAAAAAACAGUACAAGUGAUUGAACAAUUGCAGACAUUGAAUUCCCUCGCACGUAUCUAGUUAUGGCAUGCCAAAAAACAGGAUGAACGGUGAACUGCUGACCGCAUCGCCAUCUUUCGGUGGACAGAAAACCGCGCUCCUUAAGAUUGACAGAGUCAACGGUGAGGUUCCAAAUUGGGGUUUAUGUGUUAUAAUAGUAGUGUACAAGCUCCCAACCAAGGAAUGAGAAGAGCUGGUCUAAUCAAGUGGUGCUCAGUAGCUCAAAUACCUCAAAAAGAAAACCCAUCAGGAUGCUGACAGUUUGCUCAAGUGAUUAUACAGGCUGAAGCCACACAAAUAUCACAGUGUAGCUGCUAUUCAUCAUAGAACUUAAGUGAGAGUGGGGACGAGAUGGAUUCCGUUGCUCCCAAGAGGCCACCCCUCCCCCCCCCCCCCCCCCCCCCCCCCAAAAAAAAAAAAAAGAGCACCAACACUGGCAAUGCAUAUGAGACGGAUUGAACUUUUUUUUGGACUAAGUCAACAACUUCCAGACAACACUACAAUAGACUAUUGCAGAGAUCGAUUGAGCUAGGUUCAAACAAAUUUCUCAGUCCGGAUCCAGAGAAUGUCCGCAUUGAAGAAUUGCAUAUGAUCAAAAUUGUGCAUACUUAAUCAUCCAUAUAUAAAGGGGUUGCUUUUCUAAUAAAAGUCCCUUUUCACAGUGCUGUUCAAUCUUGAAAUUGUCCAAUCCUAUAUCUAAAUCAGAAACUAAGAGUGCAUGAAAACUAAGGUGGUACCAUCCAUUCAGGAUCAGCAUGGUCGAUUUCUGAAUUCACUGAAGGAUGGCAUUUUUUCGAAACCCACUCAAGGAUGGCAUGACAAAUUGCCAACUUCAACCUAGUGAUCUGAGCCAUGCAAUUAUAUAUAGGCUUGAUGAACUAAACAUACAGAAAUAUAGUUAAUUUACUUGGCUGAAGUUCAGCUCUUUUGCAGUCCAGCUUAGCUGAUUUUCCAGUAUGUGAUGCACUGCAUUAAGAAACGCUUGCUGUGCUAUUUUGCGAACAGAAGUCAGACAAAUGCAGAACAUUGCAACAAUCAGGCAGCACACUCAGUUUCCAUCUCUGAACAACUUCUAAGGUAAUUUUCCUGACACUAAAUUAAACUACAGAACGAGCAACAAGUUCAAAAUAGCUAAGAACAAGUAGUUAGGCUAGGGAAGGAAAUUUCCUACAAAUUACAUGCAGCAUGGCAUUCGUACCAGAGUCAAGAACUGAGACCCUUGACGGUGUCAUUGAGCAAGACACAAAUUUCCUUAGCCAGAUCAUGGCGCUGCAUCUGUGUUUGCAUCUCUUCAUCAAGCUGCUUCCUCCACCUGGUUUCCAUCAAUCUGCCCUCCUUUUUGCUUAGUAGUGAAAGACCCUUCUCCAGGGGAAACCCCGCCAAUGCCCGCUCAUUCAUUUUCCAGUACUCAGCAAGCACCUCGGUGACCACCGGCAUCACGGUUGAUGCAUCUCGGGCCACAGUGUUGCCAAAGCCCCGAACUUUGGCACAAAGAUCAUGCACGAGGCGGUCGUGCCCAGUGGCGGAUUUCCCCGGCGCCUCGUGCCGGAACUUGCUCUUGAAGCGACGAAGCUUGUGGUACACCUUGGCCUCGUCGAUGUGCGGGGAGAUGGAGCCCCUGAUGGAGCGGAGCAGCACCCCUGCGUCCCGUACUCCCGUUUCUGCGGUAUUUGGCCAGUGCGCUCCCGGAAGGCAGCGGCUGCCUCGAGGAGCGUGACCUCAUCGGCGUCGCUCCAUGUCCUGGGAUAAUUAGGGGCGGCGCCGUGGCCUCCGUCGUCCGCGGGUUCGAGCCUCUGGCCUACGUCGACAGCGACGCCCCCAGGUUCGAGACUCUGGACGUCUCCAUGCCCUCCGUCGACGUUCGACCCGCGCGCGGCCGCCACGGUACUCUCCGCCGACGUGCGGAGCCUGCGAUUGGGCUCGCUCCUGCGGGAGGGAGAGCCGCGGGGGCUAGAGUUGGGGUCCUGGCGGUCGCCGUCCAUGCCGCGCUGAGGGCUGGGCGGGUGCUUCUUUGCAAUGGGAGGGGAAGGAGGCGCGGGUGCCGCGUCGGCGUCCAAGGUCGCCGCGUCGGGUGGCAUCAGCGCGUCGACGGGUGGCGCGCGCUCUAUGAUCAGGCGUCGCUCGUCACUGCAGCUCUCUUCAGCGUCUUGGCCGUCCGAGUCGUCCUCGGGAGGGGACACGACGUUGGCGAGGCCCCAUACUUUGGUGGACAAGUCAUGGACGCGGCGGUCGUGCGUGCCGGCGGGACUCCCCGACGCACCGUGCAGGAACUUGCUCUCGAGGCGGCUCAGCUUGUCGUACGCCUUGACCUCGUCGAUGUGCGGCGAGAUGGAGUCCCCGAUGGAGCCGAACAGCGCCGCCGCGUCCGGGAGGCGCGGGACACGGCCGGUGCGCUCGCGGAAGGCGGCGGCGGCGGCGAGGAGCGUGACCUCGUCCGCGUCGCUCCAGAGACUCUGGACGGCGCCGUGGCCUACGCCGACAGUGACGCCCGCAAGCCCGAGCCUUUGUCUGCCUCCGUCGCCGGACCCGCGCGCGGCCUCCGCGGACUCGCGGAGCCUGCGCUUGAGCUCGCUCCUGCACGAAGGGGCGCCGAGGGGGCUAGGGUUGGGGCCCCGGUCGCAGUCGCCCGUGCGGGGAUGGGGACCGGACGAGGGCUUCUUCCAUCUGGGAGAGGAGAGGGACGCGGGCGCCGCGUCGGCGUCCACGGUGGACGCGGACAGCUGAUCCGAUGGCAUCGCGGCGGCGUGGCAGGUGGCGCGCGCUCUUUGGAGUGGGCCGGCGGGUCCGAUGCUCAGCUGCUCACCAAUCUGAGAAGUCGAGGCGGGGAAGCCAGGGGGCUACCACUGGUCGGCCUCAGUGCGCUGUAUCCGCUACUCCACUGUGUUGUCCGGGAUGCGCCCUUUGUUUCGAGGCUGCGUGUGCUGUAGGUGCAACCGUGCAAGCCUUCCCUCAAAAUUCUCCGAAAUCCUUUAUCUAUUCCGAUUCAUGGACUGAAACAUUUCAGUAAUAACCUGUUGCGUUAUAUUCUACUAGAAUCAAUGCUAUAAAAGCUCUAGAUUUCAUUGUCAGCAUACAUAGAAGGCAAAGGGGAAAAAAAAAGAUAGAAGCUAGUCAGAGUCAUCAAGUCAUCUGAAAAAGACUCAUAUUUCUGACGAUGAGUUAUGUCCUAUAGUGAUGAUCCAAAUGCUAUCAUCGUUUCAACAUCCUGACAGCAACUCGAUCUAACAGACCACGUCGCGUGUCCAGAGUCCAGAGAAGAUGCUCUCUUCUUUCUUCCCGGACGCCGGCGACCGGAGGCAAAGAAAGAAGAGGGCAUCGUCUGAAAAGAACAGAACGCCAUUUUUCAGGACUGAAGUUCAGGAAGCGUGGAAAGGAAAGAGUGAUUACAGUCGAAAGAACAUGUGUUCUCUUUCUCUAGAUAUCGGCAAAAGGUUUUCACUCACUUCAGUAACAUUUCUAAAGUUCGAAUUAAGCUGUGAGAGUUUCUACUGUUCUGUUGUUUCCUGCAGUGACAAACUUGCAAGCAAACGCAGAGAAAUUGAUGCGAAGGCAGCUUUUGAACCAAAUAUGAUAGUUCGGACGAGAUGGAUUCAACUGCUCCAAGGAACAUCAAAACCCACUAUUUGCGGAUGGAAAUUACAUUUCGAUGUACAUAGCUUGAACAACUUCGGGAUAGAAUAGCACUGCAUUAUUGGACGGAUUGAGAUAAGUUACAGCAAAUUCAUCAGAACAUGGUUUCAGAGAAUGCACAGUAUCUGAAAACUAGUUAUGUGCGCAAAUGUGCGUUCUUCCACAAUCCAUCUGAAAUAAAAAAAAGUUGCAUUUCUUAUCAAAAUUCCCUUUCGCAACACUGUUCCCUGGCCACCAUUCAUUCAGGAUCAGAAUAGCAAUUUCUGGAUUUGCACAAGGAUGACUCAAGGAAUACUAUAGCAAAUUUCAGUCUGCGGAUCUGAGCAAAGCAGUCAUAUAGGCUUGAUGAUACUAAAUAAAAUCAAAUCAACAUGGUUAAGUUUGCUGAAGCUCAGCUCUUUUGCAGGCCAGCUGAAUAGAACAUAACUGAUUCACUAACCAAAGCAGGCAUUCUUGCCGUGCUGUUUUGUUACAGAAGUCGGACAAUGCAACUGUGUCAUCAUUUUAGAGAAGAUGCUACAACAAAUCGGGAAGAAUGUUUGACCUCCAGCUUUCUCUAAACAACUUCUACUAUAAUUGACCCAACACCAAGUCUGAAAUGAGCAACAAGUUUGAGCUAAUCACACAACACACAGUCAAACUGAGGAAGGAGAAGGAAAUCUCCUACAGAUCUAAUGCAGCAUGGCAUGGCAUUCAUA
RNAcentral lists this long non-coding RNA (67213 nucleotides) under Setaria viridis. RNAcentral describes it as "long non-coding RNA (SVIR_LNC001127)". The record is from RNAcentral. Lineage: Eukaryota; Viridiplantae; Streptophyta; Magnoliopsida; Poales; Poaceae.